GGAAUCAACCUCGUGGCCUCCAUGAUCGGGCACCUUCUGCACCAUUUCGAGUGGUCUCUUCCAGAAGGUACCAUGCCGGAGGAUGUUGACAUGAUGGAGUCCCCUGGAAUUGUCAUGUUCAUGAGCACGCCGCUGCAGGCUGUCGCCAAGCCGCGCCUGGACAAGGAGGAGUUGUACAACAGGGUCCCGGUUGAGAUGUGAGCAAGGUUUUGGAUUUUGAAUGAUGUUUUUUUCUCGCGGGGGACCGAGAUUCUAGGUUACCACGGUAACCAUGAAAUACUGGCAAAAUUUAAAUCAAAUCUUGAAUUCAAAAUUAUGUAAGUACCACUUAUAUACAUUAUUAUUGAACUUAAUAUAUUCAGAAACUAUCUGCUGGCAGACGGGUUAGGUCCGCAGGACCGAGGGUCGAACCAGUGGCCUAUAUAUAAGGUUGGACUCGAUAUGGAAAACCCUAGUUACCACUACAACAUCGCUAGUUAGGUAUGCUAUAUGUUUCAGUUCCUGUUGUGUCUAACUACACAUCGACCGUUUAAAUUCAUUUCUUUUAAGUUCCAGUAUUUGUUUUACUCGGUGUAUGGGUUUCUCAUGGGGCGGCGUGAUUUGCCGGGCGGUUUGUGAAAAAAAAACCUUGGAUGUGAGCAGCUUGGAAUGUUUGUUUGAGGAGUGGCUUGGAAUGUGUUACACCGUUGGGCAUUUGUCCCUCCUAAAAACAGGUGCUUGAUUGAGCUCAUGUUAUUGUAAACUGGGUAUUAACUUUCCUUUGAAAUCGUAAAGUUACAGUUUGAGACCGUUUAAACCUCUUGAUGGCUCUUGGAAAAGAUGCGCCACGAGGCAACCGCCGUCUCCGUCCCGUCUCCAUGAAGAUACUUUAUUUUGCCGAGAUGCCCCCCUUGGCUCUCGGCAAAUUGUUUGCCGUGUGCCAGAUGGAUGGUUCUCGACGAAAUUUUGUUUAUCUCAGAGGUGUAAGGCGAGAACUCUUUGCCAAGAACAAUUCUGGGAAAAGCCUUUGCCGAGUUUAUUUGGCCCUUUGCCAUGUGUUUCUGGCACUCGGCGUAAAGUGAAUUUAUAGUAGUGUUUGUUCUACUUUGAUUAUGUACUUAGAUGUGUAUUCGCAUAGAAUUUUGAUUUUUACUAAUGAUAAAAAAAUAGACAGUGUAUUUCUCCACCUAUUACCUAAUACUAUCCAUGUAAAUGAUGGUUGAAUACCGUGCUCUCGACUGAAACUUGGCACUGUGUUCACAUUUUAGGUCCUCUUAGGGCAUCUCCAACGUUGUAUGUCAAACUCCUCGUAACCGCACGGUCCGAACAGUUUAAACUCUACAAGGCUGUCCUCUAAAUGUCCGUGGACGGGUCCAAACAUCUAAAUUCUCACAAAACGGAAGCAAACCGAUAGGAGGUUUGCAGUGGCCGAACCUAUGCCACGUACACUACUGACUUCCUAGACCCACACAGCUUGUGGCAGAUUAAAUAACUCCGGCAAUGGGCAGAUUCAACUGGAUCUAUAUUGCGUCUUCUACCGGUACUUUUGUGUUAAAGACGACAAGGGCAAGGGCACAACAACCGGCGCUGAAGCCCAAACCGCCCAAUAACGUGUUCAGCCUCUCAGGAAUCCCCUACCGAGUCCAUCGUCGUUCUCCUCUAAAUCCACGUUGCUGAGCCACCCUCCGUGCCACCGCACCACGCUGGUGCUCCUUCUUCUAACACUGCGCCGCCUCUGCGUGACGACUGCCACUUCGAGUCCGCGGCACAUCGGUGCUGCGCAGCCGCCCACCCGGUUAGGCUGUGCACUGUUGCGCGCCGGCUUGCAAGAAGCGGCCGCAGGAGCGAGCAUUGCAGCUUCUAGAAGCGGCAGGCGCAACAUUUGUUCCGACACCCGGCACAUUAACCAUCACUUGCGCUUUAAUUGUGCAUAUUUAAUGUAUUGUUGGUGCUUUUCGUACUGCCAUACUCUACAGCCUGCAGAGAUGAACUAAUAUUCAUAUUCAGGACCUUCACAACGAGGUUGUUGCUUUAAGUUCAGUGCUGGGCUCAAUGCUUUGGCAGGAUUAAAUUAACAAUUUCAUACUCUACACUUCAUUUCUACAACUACAUCUUAAAUCUAUUCUUCCCUUUCUCAAAAGCUACAACUCUUUUUGGGAAAACUAUAUGCACAAGUACUCACUUGUGCAAAGAUUUACAUUCAUAUUUUUUUGCUCAUAUUUGUAGGUGUCACUUGUUAUUCAUGGGUUGUAUUGUGGCAUCUAGUAGUUCCGAAGACAGUUUUAUGCAUUUCAUAUGUUUUUUUUAUGUUUUUUCAUGUUUUUAGUACUGAAUUCCAUGAGUUUUGCCUGAAUAGACUUGCCCGAUUGCAUUUGUAAAGAAAAAAAAAUAGACCUUAAAACAUCCCAAAAUAAGUGACUCAACUUGAAGUUAGUACAAAGUUAAGUCACUUAUUUUGGGACGGGUGAAGUAUAAAUUAGUAACUCGCAAAUGACAAUCAUAUAUACAUCCAAGCAAACACUCAGUGGGAAGACACAGAAAAGAACAUCAUGCAUCGGCCGGCUCGCGGCCGGCUGAUCUUUUGAAAAGAUCAGAUAGAAUGAGCGCAAACAAUGAUCAAACUGACAUCCGUAUGGACCGUAUCGUCAUGAACAACCAUACAUAAAUUUCGUCACCCGUAAAUGACUAUCAUAUUUACAUGCAAGCAAACACGAAAUACCUGUAGACACUCAUACCUCGUCCGGACCAAGAACGAUGAAGCCGGCCGAAAGAGCAGACCUCUCGAACCUAUUAUUCUCGUAGUGCAAACACGUAGCACGAAGACGACGCUGAUCGACACUGGACGCCUCCGUUCAUGAUAUACCAUAACUAGCUACGAAAGCAGGGCAUGCGUGCAUGCAUAUACUACCUAGCCCACGUAACCGACCGACCGACGAAUUACGGCGGACCCGUAGUAUUGUACGGCCCAUCGCCCUGGUGACCAUGACCGGGGCCAGGGCUAUGACCGGGAGUCGUCUCCUUGUCCAUGGGCUCGACGGCGGGGAAGCUGCUGACGCCGUCGCUUCCCUCGGAAGCCCUCUCCGGAGCCGUGGUUGCCACUCCGCCCCUCGCGCAGUGAACUACCCCCGGCAUGGAGAUGGAGUGCGCGACCAGGAGGAGGGCGAUGGCCAUGGCGGCAAAGGUCGAAGCAGACGAUGAUUUGUUGGCCAUAUUGAACUUGGCAAGACUAGUCGCUACUAGGUUAUUGGUAUGAGCGUGAGUCGAGUGUUGAGAGGGUGGAGGCGUUCAUUUGGUGCCUUAUAUAGACGUCUGGUGAAGUGGUGAUUACGGAAGCUUAUUGAUUUUUGUUAGUGACGAUGCAAAAGUGUUAGCACAUGCAUGCAAGCACACGAUGCUUCUUUUCAUGAGAUGAUAAACAUAGUCGAUCAGAUGUUCCAUCUUAUUUAACAAACUGCUGGUCCAGCAUUCUUGGCGCCAGUAUUAGAAACCACCAGCAAGAAACGGUAAAAAGACGUGCCUAUCCGAUACAUCGUGGAGACAGCAUACUAUACCACCAGCAAGAAACGGUAAAAAGACGUGCCUAUCCGAUACAUCGUGGAGACAGCAUACUAUACUGUCACAAAAAAUGCCGCGUAGAUGUGGUAAUAUUCUGUCCAAGGUUUCCCUCAGAUCGAGCGCGUGGUGUUGUCACCUGUACCUAACCUUCUCUUUCGAACCUUGUACUCCCACUUGGACGUUGUUUAUCGUCAUAAUCAAAGCUCGUGGUUGCUUUAGAAUGUAAAGCCAUGGCUCCGGAAUCGUCAAGGAACUCCUAUAUGUCACACUCUCGUGUGCCCAUGAAUCACUUGACCAUUCUCGACCGAAUGUUACUUUAGGAACAACAGGUCUAUUUUCAGUGGCGGAGCUUGGUAGAAAUUGUUGUAUUUUAUCUACGUGGCAGAUGGAUCCCAAGGUUUUACACAACUUCUCAUGGUAAUUUCAAGUGAUCUACACCUUUUUAUCAUUUGUGUGUACAGCAUGGCUAUGCAAUAGUAUUGCAUUAUUUAACUGUUUUCUUUUGCGGGAGGAUAAAAAUAUUGAUGCGAAUGGUGGCUACUUUUACUAGGGUGACAAGGAUAUGGUAUUAGCAGCUAUCUAUGUUUUUGCACAAAGAACAAUAUUUUACCCGUGGUUUCUCUCAUACCAGUGCCGGCAAUUCUAACUAACCUUCUGUUCCGAAUAUUGAAAUUGCACUUCAACAAAGUUUAUCGCCAUAAUUAAGUAUCAUGGUUGCCUUAGACUGUAAUCCAUGAUUCUGAAAUCGUUAAGGGACUGCUAGACACGCCCGCGUGCCAAUCUCGAUUCUAGUUAAACUAGUAAGACCAUAAUAAGUUAGAUAAACGUGAAACUUAUUUUGCAGAACAGCAAGCAACAUAGGUAAACUACCACACACACAAUGGCUACUGAAGACACGACUCGAGGAGCUUCAAGAUUAGUGAUAUGACCACAAGCGUUAAACUAUUAAUGGGAGCAGUACCACACAGUUCAUAACACACACAGGGUUCAUCGUCAUCACCACACAGUACUUAAAUUCCAGUUUACAUAUCCGGAUGACACGCAGAGUUCAUCUUCAUCAUCACACAAUUAUCCACCCAAAGGAUCAGGCGCCCAAGAAGCUAGGCAGAUGAAGAUGCAGUCCCUUGAUGUGUGUUAAGGUUGCUCUUGCUAGUUCAUUCACCGAAUCACUUAGUCUAGCCUAUCGGAACACAUGCAGAGUUCAUCUUCAUCACCACACAUUUCUCCGCUUCACUAUCGGCCACUGCAAAAUAUUGCGCACGCGAGCUGCUCCAACAGACGUUGCAAAAAAUCGGCGCGCCAGAUGCGAGGAAGAAGAGGGUGGCGGGGGAAAGAAGGGGGCGGUGGGGCGCUUGGGUGUGCGGUUGACAGCUCGGGGGCGCGCGUUUUAUAAAGCACGCCGGACGCCGCGUGCCGGGCCGUUUUUUCGCGCGCGCGAUUCUUUGCCGCGCGCCGGAAUCUCCCGCGUACGCUGGAGCGCGUGAAACCGAUUCGCACGCGCUAAAACACCUAUAUACUUAGCGCCGCUGUUAGAGAUGCUCUAACGCCACACCGUCUACAAGGCUGCAAGGUUUGUGAUUGGAAAAAAUCAUCGAAGCUAGUUAUUGCUCUUAGACCUAGUCCAGUUAUGUUACAUCUCGAAUUCUUGAUCAAGCUCCUGCUUGACUUCGCGCGUGUGCGAUUCUUUGCCGCGCGCUGGAAUCUCCCGCGCACGCUGGAGCGCGCGAAACCGAUCCACGUGCACUAAAACACCUAUAUAUUUAGCGCCGCUGUUAGAGAUGCUCUAACGCCACACCGUCUACAAGGCCGCAAGGUUUGUGAUUGAAGAAAAUCAUCGAAGCUAGUUUUUGCUCUUAGACCUAGUCCAGUUAUGUUACAUCUCGAAUUCUUGAUCAAGCUCCCGCUUGACGCUUGUCCAUGUCGAAUAUUCGCAAGAUCUCAACUUAGUCUAAAAUUGUUCGACGUGAUUUUGUACUAAAGAAAGCAGAAAAUUUGAAUACUUUUUGUAGGUAUACACAGGAAAGAAUAUAUAUGUAUGCUCGCAGACUAGUGCAUGCAUGCAUUGACCUGAUCUCUUGAGUAUGUACGUGGUGCAUGGCAAAAAUUGCCUACGUACUACAUGCAGGCAUCCGACCUACUAGAGCGGCAACUCGCACGUCUAGGAGCGCAAUACAUACCGGAGUACGCAGCGGCCGCCACGACCGGCAUGUAUAACUAUGUACAAAAAUACCUGUAUACCGGCCAGCAAGCGCGUGUACAUACUUGAAUACCCGUACAAACAGUUCAAAAUAAGAUGAAAAUGGAUGAACAUCCAGGACGGCCGAAGUCACAUGUUUGGCAAAUGCACUGACCCACCUGCAGUCAGUUGAAAACUAACUAAAUACAUAUGUAUUAUUUUCUUUUGCAGGAGUGUGGGUCAAGAAGAUCAGUCGAAGGGAUAAACAUACGAAGAAGACCAACAUGUUUCCAUCCAUAUCGCUUCCAGGAAAAUCGGGAAACGCCCAAGGCCGCCGCCAUUCAACAACGCACACAUCCAUCAGGAGAUUCAUCCAUACCAUCACGCCGCAAGGCUACCGCAUCCAUCCAUCACGCCGCAAGGCUACCGCAUCCAUUCAUCACGCACAUACGUUCAGAGAAAAGACCUGCUAGCACCACAUCCAUCCAUUCGUCACCGGAGCACACAACCGGCAACCAGGCACACAUCCAUCAUAACUCACGCACGGGAGAGAUCCAUCCAUCCUUCGCGCAACACAACAUCUAUCUAUUCUACCACGCACACAUCCAUCCAUCGCCGGGCAAACCACUUUGCAAAACACCAGAGGCAAAUCACAUCUUGCAGGAAUUAACGCAGCCGCAACGGAGAUCGGCGGCCAUCCGUGCAAGGGCGGCAAGGACUUCGACGAUAUGAACACCAAGCUCAUGUUGCCUGAUGGUGAGAUGAUCGUCUAAUUACUUUUUCUUUUGUUUCUCUCCCUGCCAUCCAGCAUGCGUGCACUACACCUAGAGUAUGUGCCGGACAUCGGAGACGACACGCUUGUGUGAUCGCGUUGUCGCCGCCGUCGAAGACGACUUCACUGGACCAGAAAAACUGCACCGACAUCGUUGGGGUUUGUCUAUGCCAAGCCGUUCAUUUUCAGGUGUCAUGUUCUUGGCUGGAGAUUACUCAGGAGCAGCCGGAGCUCUCCAACGACGCAGCCCAACCGAUAGCCCCGGCGCCCUACCAUCGCAGCCUUCACGGUGCUUGGUGAACACCCCACGGUGUACAGGUCGCGACACACAGAUGGCGACAAACAAGGCCACAGUGAACAGGUUCAUGGCAAAGGGUACACCGGCGUACAUGCUUGGCAUCACACUCUUGGAUGAGAUGGCGUGGCGGAAUCGGAGCUCGCUGACGAUGCAGCCCGAGACCCGCCUUUUUCAUCAUGGCGUACAGGUUUCGCAUUACACUCUUGGAGGAGACGGCAUGGCGGAACCGGAGCUCGCCGACAACGCAGCCCGAGACCCGCCUUCCCAUCACGACGUACAGGUCCUUGGUGGAACCAAUAUCCGCAACGACGGGUCUAAGACCGGUUCCUCCUUCAUGAGGCCCGCAUCCCCGACGAACAGGUCAAUGGCAUACAGAUCCUUUACUGAACUGAAGAUUGCAACGACGCUGUCCAAGACCGGUCCCUCCUUCGAGAGGCGCACCCAUCAUGGCGGACAGGUCCUUGGUGUACAGGUCCAUGGCUUCGCCGGCGCACAGGUCACUCUUCCGCGUAGUACCAGCCCAAGGCGAUGCGGCCUUUGCGACACCACUUUCCACGGCCCUGUGAGGCGGCGCCUUUGCCUUGGCAGACCGCCAAAUACUUGGCGUCUAGCCAAGAUGAGGCGCCAACCACCCUGGCCAUGUCAAUAUGAGCGUGUGUCAGUUUAUUUUACACUGACGCCGGUCUCCCCAAACCGUUACUCCCGCAAGGCGUAGCCCCUUGAACACCCCGAUGAAGCAACAGGUCAUCAAGAUGUCUGAGCCGACCGCGACCCAUGCUACCCCAACACCAACUACUCCAACGCCGCAAAAACCGACGAGGCACGACGGCGAGGGCGGGCGUGGCCACCGCAAAGGCCACACUACUUGCGGCGCGUGUACCGACGAGGACACGGGCUCUGCCGCCGCCCACACACACCACCAUCAUCAUGCAUCGAGAACACGAAGCGAAGACGACGAAGACGACCACGCAGCUUAAUCGAAGGUAUCUCGCGGAGCAACCCGCGGGAGUAAUUAACCGGGAGCCUUCCGAGGCCCCGGGAACCAGGAGACCACGAUCGCCAUAGUCAGGCUGGCCGCGCUAGUAGGCCACGGAGCGCACUUUUUGUUUACGGGUUCUUGUACUUUUGUUUCUCCAAUGAGAUUAAUGAAAUACUCGUUUUCCGCAUCCUUUUCUUUGUGUACUACGGUACACUGGCACGCCCGCAAAUUUUCUUUUCUUCUUUUCCCCGGCGCAAGAGAGAAAUACGCUCCCCUUCCCUUCUCGCGGAGUCCCUAGAUAUUUUUCUCGUGUCAAACAAAAAUUAACCAUGCGCAACGCAUGCAGCAGGUGAACAGGCGCCCAAGAAGCUAGAUAGAUGAGGAGCUAGCUAGGGUACCGUGGAAGAAAUUGAAGUUGGAUGGCACCGAAGCAUGGACAAAACUGUGUAAGUUCACUGGAUAAGUGCCAAAGUGGGAGGUUCUCAGGGCUGGAAGGUCUUUGAAGUUCAAUGAAGCACAGGAAGGACACGACCACGUUGGGAUAGGUAUGUUGUGCUUAUACUUUUGGGCUGGAUUACUAACCGCGCUAGAAUUCCUCGAAACUCAUGCUCUGUUAGUGUUGUGUCAUUUUGCUUGGCCCGAGGUUUGGAUUGUGGCCAAAGUGCAUCUUACUAAAAUUUUGGUCAUGACUUAAAGAUUGAUCUUUAUUUGGAUGGUUGCCAAUUUUUUAGCAUGCAAAUGAACUUCAGCCAACUCUAGUUCAUUUUUCUUGUCAAUGUUGGCCAAAUCAUGGGCAACCAAAACCUCAACUAAACAUUUGGCUAGCCAACGCCUUUGUGAGGCAACCUCGGGCACAAACCAAACACCCCCUAGGUGUGUUCGUAGCAAGCUGUGCUUCUAUCCACGGGCGAGUCUAUGUAUCUCUUAUAGCAAGACAGAGGGCUGCCUCGCCCGCAUGCAUGCUACAAGGAGCUAGUUGUGGGACGGCCCAAUAGGGACAUGGGUCCUCAUGCUGACGUCAGUCGAAAUGCAUAUAAUUCAAAAAUUAAAUUUACUUAAAGAUUUUAACUAUGAAUUUGAACAAAUGUUAACAACGUAUAAGAAAUUUGUUAGACUACUUUUGUAAAAAAUUGGUAACUUUCAAAAAAAAGUUUGUGACAUGAAAAAAUGGCUGUGACAUGGAAAAAAUGUUUGUGACAGGAAAAACAUGUUUCCGUGUUUCAAAAAAAUGCAUGCAAUUUUUUUAAUAAAUGUGUAUGGUAUGUAAGAUAAUGCAUGUGCCAUUUUAAAGACAAUGUUCCUGCAUUUAAAAAGAGUGUACGAAAAACUUCUAAAAAAUAAGUAUGCAAUGUAAGAAAAAUAUUUGUGUAAUGUAAACAAUGUUUCAUACUACUAGAAAAUGAUGUGAUAUUUUAUAGAAAUAUUUUUGUGUUUCCAAAAAAUGUUGCGUCAUUUAAAAAUGCUUAUACAAUGUAAAAAAUGUUCUUAUAGGUUUAAGAAAUGUACUUGAGAUAUUAAUGAAAUAUUCAUGUCUUCCCAAAAAAUGUCACCGUAAUUAUAAAAAUUGGUUAUACAAUGUAAAAAAGUUUCCAUAGUUUAAAGAAAUUUUUUAUUUCCAAUCAAAAAGUACAAUUUUUAUUUCACAAAUGUUACUGUGUAAUCGAAAAAGAGGUCAAACCAUGUAUUUUAAAAAUGCACAUAAUGUAUUUGAAAAAUAUCCCACAUGUACCAAAAAUAUGAUUCAAGUGUGCGCUAAAAUGUACAAUGUGUACUAAGAAAAAGUAGAUAUGUGCUAAAAAUUUGACAAACUGACAAGAACAAAAAGAAAAACAGAGAAAAUUGAAGAAACCAAAAAAAAUUAAGGAAACAAAGUAUAACGAAGAAAGGAAAAAAUCCAAAGAAAACCAGUGUAUAAGUAUAAAUAAUAAAAUAAUAAUAAUAAUCCAAACAAAACAGGUGAAAAACAGGAAAAACUAAAGAAAAGAAAAAAACAAAGAAAUCUGGAGCAGAACGAACCUAUAGCGACGGACCAGCAGCGAGCGACAUACACUAUUAGGCUGACAUGAUAGUCGCGCGACCGUAGGUGAUUCCUAAUGGGAAUCGGUAUGGGUGAGACAUGUUUGUCGAGUUCUAUCCACACCCAAAAAUGGUUGUGCGUCGAAAUAGAGUGCAUUACAUACCGGGCGUACACCCCCAGCAAGCAGGCCGGUAGUGGGAUUGUACAGUUGAAUUGCUCCCACUCGGUUUUGUGACGCUUCUAGAAUGUUUUAGUGCGGGUUUCUUUCUUUUCUCUGCUUAUUUUUUUAUUUCUUUGGUUUUGUUUCCUUUUUAUUUUAAAACUUCAUGAACAUAUUUUAAAUUCUUGACUUUGUUUUUCAAAAUUGUGAGAAUCUCUAGAGUAGCAAUAUUCUUUAAAAUUCAUGAACAUUUUUAUUUUUUAAGAAUUAUUUUGUCAAAUUUGACACUUUCUCCAAAUUGUGAGCAUCUCUAAAGUGUGAUAUUUUCCAAGUUGUGAAGAUAAUUAACAAUUCGAGGAUUGAAUAUACGAAUAUUUCGAACAUUUCUGAAUUUUUUAAAUUAGUAGAUGUUAUAGAUUUUCGUGAAGUACUUUUAAUUUACAAACAUUUUUAAAUUCAUCCUGAAUUUUAUAUUAUCAAGGUUCUUUUGAAAUUUGAUGAACAGUUUUAAAAUUCAUGCAUUUUGAUAUUCUAUAUAAAUGUGUAAAAUUAUUAGCGAGUUUUUCAAAAAGUUGGUGAUUUAAAAAAAAAAUAGGCCAGCGAGCCUAGCGAGCCGAAUGCUAUUUGGGCCGCGGCCGAAGGCCAUCCGCAUGGGUGAUUUGGCAGCAGUUGGGUGACUGUAGCGGGAGGUCCUAUUUGCCGCUCUUCGCAACAGAUAAUUGGCCACUUUCUUAGAGCUCAAAUGACCGUUUGUGGUGCUCUUGCACUAACCGAAGUGAAAAUCCGUAAAAUGUGAUGCCUUCUUGCUAGUAAUCGAAAAAAGAUUUACCGUUCGUGAGCGAGUAUUGCUAGCCACGGGGGCCGAUGAGCUUUCAUGACUAAAAAGAACAUAAAUACUUUAAGAACUAACAUCACUUGUAGAUUCGCACAAUUUUUCAAAUUAUUUAUCUUCUAAAUAACUGAAUAUUUUUUGAAACAGAAACACUUUUCAAACUUAUGAACACGUAUUUCAAACACGAACAAUUUUCAAACUUGUAAAAACUCAAGAAUUUUUUGAAUCCGUGAACAAUUUUGAAAAUUCACAGAAAAUGAAAAACGUGAAUAUUAUUUUAAAAGUAGAACAUUCAUUCAAACUACUUAAAAAUAUAUAUAAAAACAAGAACAUUUUUUUGAAAUUCUAAGCAUUUUUUGAAAAAGGGAACAUUGUUAAAAAUUCCCAAAUGUUAAUGUGAAUUUGUGAACAACAUAUGAAAACAAGAACUACUUGUAAAAAUUUGACCAUUUUUUACAUUCCCCAACUUUAUUGAAAACGCAAAUAUUUUUUAAUUCAGGAUUUUUUUAAAAAUGGAAACAAUUUUAGAAAAAUGUAAACAUUUUUUGAAAUUUCCGAACAGUUUUCAGAAAACGAAUAUGUUUUGUAAUCUAGAACAUAUAAAUUUGAAUUCUUGAACAUGUUUUUUACACAGAGAAAUAAACAUCAAAUAUCAAAGACAUAAUGAAAAGAAAAAUAAGUAGAAAAAGGAAAAAGAAUAUCAAAAGGAAAAUGAAAAACUAAAGAGCUAGAAUAACCAAAAUUGGUCAGAUACAUUCUAGAAGGUUCCCAAAACUGGGUAUUCUUUUCGCUACCUACAAAAUGGGCCGACCCAUUUUAGAUCUCUAGCUCUCCUCUCUCUGCGUUUAGUCGAGACUUUGACGCAGGGAGGGUCAUAUAAGAUUUUUCGCCUAAAGUACCCAGGAGCUCCCUCCGAAGCUACUCCGAGGUUAAUUCUCAUGAAAAGGAAAACUAGUCCAAGGUUGUGAUUCGCGAUAAUCCUCUUUUGAGCCCAGGCUCAGCUGCACCCGCGUUGACGAAAAGAUAAAAAGAACUAGAAAAGUAAAAAAAAUACAAUUUUUUUGUGUGGUAGAUAAUUUCAUGCAUGAGCUCCGCUCUAAUUUUCAAAUCAUUUGGACAUCUGAGCAUCUCUCGAAAAAAAGAAAAAUUCAAAGGUCUGUACAAAAGUUUACAGUUCAUGCACUGUUCUGACCCGAUUUGUGUUUUUUGCUGAGAGCUCCUCAGAAGCCCAAAUGAUCUGAAAUUUGGAGCGGACCUCACGCAAUACAUUUUCUACCAUGCAAACAAAAUUGGAUUUUUUUUGAAUUUUUUUAGUGUUUUGUGAUUUUUUCUGACCCGGUACAGAUGAGUCGAGGCACCGAAACGCCGCACUCUGUGAUUCGUUGUUAUUCUCAACAAAUAGAAAAUGGAUUGAGAUUUGUGUUUGCACACGAACACACAUCAUCAUGUACUUCCCGCGUCGAGCACGAUACGUAGGACACAUCAUUCGAGGAAUCCCACUGGGAGCGCGAUACGCGCGCAAGGCGCAUCGACGAGAACUUUUGAGAUCCGAACCCGCACAUGUCUCGCAGAGACCCCGUCACGGAGUGUGGCGGCUACGGGUUACCCUAAGUCGGUCCAACUGCCCAUAGGGCCUCGAGGAUCAUUGCUCUUCAACACGAAGAACGAACGAAAAACGAGAUGUAAAAACUAGGGUAAAAAGUAGUAGGUGUGUUGCCAUUGUGUGUUUAUGAGGCGGCGGGACAUCUCAUACAACAAAAUGACUCUAAAUCCCGUCUAAAUCUUACCAAAAUUAAUCGAACAUGAAUUUUUCUUGGGCCUAAGACGACAGUUCAAUUCUUUAUAAUCCACGGGCUGCCUAUUAGCUCGGGGUAAAAUGACCCCAGAAUAAAUGUUUGGUUUGACGAGGCAAAUAAAUCUUAUGUUGAAUGUUAUUUCAUCCGAGGUCUUGAGGGUCUAAUCACCGACGCCAUGCAUCAGACAUGUAUUACACAACAUCUAGGGCGAGGCGAAUCCUUUCUUAGCUUUGAAGGUUUGCAUAUGACAUCUGAUUAAAAAUGGCCCCAAAAGCAAGUUAUUCGCCCUAACGAGGCGAUGGAAUAUCAUGUUAAUUAUUUAUUUCAUCUUAUGCCAUCUCGAGGGUCCAAUUACUGACGUCAUCCAACAGAUAUGCAUUAGAGACAAUGUUUGGAACUAGACGAAUGUUUUCCUAGCUUUGGAGGUUGUAUAUGAUCUCAGAUGGAGGGCAGCUCCAGUGCAUGUAGCUCCCGCUUGCGCAGGGUCUGGGGAAGGGUCCGACCACUAUAUGAUCUCAGAUGGAGAUGACCCAAAUAUCAGAGUUGUUAGUGUCGAUAUUCAACCAUCAUUUUCAUGUUAAAAACUUCUUCAUUUGAGGUCAUCUUAAUUAUGUGUUUUACUAUGCCAAAAUCUGAUGUCAACAAUUUGUUAGUUAUGUGAGGAAGAAGGUGAUCAACAAGCUAACUCUAACUUGAUUUUUAAUGAAUGAAGUCAAUCAAUGGUUUCAGUUUGCUAAACUUAACAGGGUUAUCAAACAAGCUAACGAGUGUUACAAGCGACCCAACUCAGUCCAUACGAGGUAGUACAAGCGCACCUCCUCCUGUAGUGCAGUAAAAUUGCCGACCUAGAGAAACGUUGCCAUGGCAGCCACAUCUGCCACAUGGGCUAAUCAGGGAGAAGGUCGUGUACUUGUGUUAGGCUGGUCAUAGUGGGACUAACUUAGUAAGUAACAUAGUGCAUUUUAAGACAAAUUUUUUUAUGUGGCAUAUAAUUAAUGAGGAGAGAGGUGUUUGGAGUAACAUAAUAUAUUACUGUAACAUAGCGCAACCCAAAGCAAAAUGAGUCUAUAAUGUAAUAAAUGCUAUCAUCUAUGAUACUCCCUCCGUCCGGGUUUAUUAGGCCUAAAGACAACUUCUCUUAGAUCAAGACACAUAAUAAUUUGCUCACAUUAAUUAUUCCAUUCCACUCCCAAUGCACUCUCUCACAUGCAUGCAGCCAAUGAAAAAGCACACAUGAAGUGUAUUAACUUUUCAGCCAUGGCACCAACAACAAUAGCUUUCAAUACAACCAAUGAAAUGGUUGCAUGCAUGCACCUUUCCAAUGCGGGGCCUUAUAAAAGGGGACAUGCUUGUGAUGCUGAGAGGCCUAAUAAACCCGGACGGAGGGAGUACUGCUUAUAUGUUAUUUCGCACUAUGAAGAUAGUAACAAAGACUAGUGUCAUAUGCAUGACACUAGUCUAAGUUACUCCCCACUAUGACUAGCCUUAUCCAUCUCCCAGCUUGCAUCGUGCAGCCGAAUCGCAAGUACGUGGGCCCCAACAGGAUCAAUCCUACUCCCUUCCUCCGAAAAUACUUCUCAUCAAAAUGGACAAAAAAGAUGUAUGUAGAACUAAAAUACAUUUAGAUACAUCCCCUUUUAUUCACUUUGAUAACAAGUAUUUCCGGAUGGAGGGAGUACAUAACAAGAGGCGCACUGCAAUGGUUCGGGCUGCUUUUAUCUUUCUAGCUAACACACACACACACACAGAGAGAGAGAGCAGUUAUUGUAAUUGAGCAGUGAAAUCAAUAGAGAACUAGUUCAUAACAAAAUCACGCCCUUACGCUCAUCCCAUGUAACAUAACAUAGUUUAACGAGCUUUGAACAAACAGACCUAAGCUAACAAGCUUUAGCAACCACUAACUCGACGAGCCGCAGCCUUAACAACCGAGGUAAUCCACCUACAGCAACGAGCCUCCGAUGCAAUUCUAUAGAAUUUUCGAAGGGUUAGAAUCCUUAAGAAUUUUCCUUAGGUUGGUCGUUUGAUUCAUAUGAUUGAAUCCUACAUGAAUUUUUCCUAAGGGAUCAUGCGUACUAUAUUUUAUUAAAAAUCUAGCAUCCGCUUCAAGCUGUUUUUACAAUUUCUUUGUUUUUUUCCUGUGGCAUCAAACACACUAUGCUAAUCCUAUAGGAGUGAAGCGGACAUGCCACUUCAAUCCAGUAUUUUUUUUCCUACUUAUGCAUUUUGAGAAUCCUGCGAAUCAAAGAAGGCCUUAGCUAGUUUUUCCAACCAUGUCGUUUUCCAAGCGAACUAGAAAAUCAAUUGUGGCAAGAUGUGAUUAGUGAGACGUGAACAUUGACUCCUCUGGAAAUUCAUUCUCUGAAACCGACGUGUUUGUCAUGCAGUAACAUACCAAGACAGAAUUGUAGGCCUCCGCCAGAAACAAAACAAUACAAAAGAUAUAACCGUGCUCAUGUAUGUAAUGCAGCUGGAAGAGUUCCUGAAGUGGAGGGUGUCCGGUCGUGUGGAAACACCUUACCUAGGCGGGCGGCUUUUGGUUUUGAGACGAAGUUGACACUUCACCCGAUCACCAAUCAGGUCCGAACUAUAUAUAAGAUAAGAAGAGCCUCCCCCAUUGCCAUCGUCAUCACACACACACACACACACACACACACACACACUCUUCACAAGUUCUCACUGUUUCCUGUCCCUCUUGAGUUGAGUCUCUCUGCUCCAUCCCGGCCGGCCUUUCCCCUCCUGACAGCCAGAUGGCCCAGGUACGCCAGUUUUAGAGUGUUUUCUCCCUCGAUCCGUUCAGAUUAUAGCAUGCCGACCGAUCGUGUCGUCGCGUCGGUGAAUCCUGCUAAGUUUCUUAGUAGAAUCCUGGGGAAAUGUUUGUUCACUCUUUGCUUGGUUGCCGCUCGCAGAAGGUGGUGCUGAGGAUUCCCACCAUGACCGAUGACAAGACCAAGCAGAAAGCCAUGGAGGCCGUCGCCGACAUCUACGGUAAGUUUGUGCCCCCCAUGAAUCCUUCCGUUGCUGGUUUGUUUGAUAUCGCUUGGCGGUUUGAUUCUCACAAGGAAGCGGGCAGAAAAAUCUGCUCUCGUGCUUCCCGGCUCCUGGCCGUUGAUAGUCAGUUCGUCUUUUCAUCGUGUAGUAUAUUUUUGGAAACACGGCCUUCUACACUUCUACCAAUAAACCGUAGCUGAAUUUCGCAAGGACGCAUGAAUUAUUGCUGGGCGAUAAUGCGAUAUUCGAUCGCGACGUGUGAUCAGACGUGGCCGGCCAAGUAAGUCAAUCUGUAGGGCCAUAAGCUACAUGCAUGCAUGUACGAUAGUACGAAAAUGGCUUUACUCUUGUGUUUGUUUGAUGAGCCAACUUGGUAGAACUACACAUGGGUCCUUUCCUCCUCCUCUCCUCCGUCCUACGUAUACGUGUGAGUGAGUGGGCAUGACUAGAUAUGUCGUCGGUCAGAUCCUCGCACAAAAGAUCAAAAUCCUCACACUAUAAUAUGCUUGUAAUCAUAGUGCAGAUCCAAAUCAAUAAAUGGAUUCUAAAGAAAGAGAGAUUUAAUCAAUUAAUGAACAUGAAUUCUAUUGCUUAAUCAAUGAAGAUAGUUUUGUUGCAUCUAAUCAUAGUCCGGAUGCAACCAAUCAACCAUCAUGAAUGAACUCAUUCCUUUUCUUUCUACUUGUGCUCGGUUGCAGGUAUCGACUCGAUAGCCGCGGACCUCAAGGACAACAAGAUGACCGUCAUAGGCGCCAUGGACACGGUGGCCAUCGCCAAGAGGCUCAAGAAGCUCGGCAAGAUCGACAUCGUCUCGGUUGGCCCGGCCAAGGAGGAGAAGAAGCCGGCGCCGGCGCCGGCUGCUGAGAAGAAGGGCGAGGAGAAGAAGGAAGACAAGAAAGAGGAGAAGAAAGAUGACAAGAAGGUCGACAAGAAGUGAAAGCAACCCAUUGCAGAAGGAGAAACCCAACAUCAUCACGCAAACGGCAACAGCAACAAAAAGUCUUUGACAUCUGAGGCUCUGAUGGAAUGCUAGAUAGCUAAUUAUCAUCUCCACUGCGAAACAAGGUCGCUUUGCGUACUGUACUGGUAUAGCGCACUACAGACAUCAAGUCAAAUCAAAUAUCAGAUCAGUGUGUGUGGACAUGUGACUCUGGGUUUGCCUGAUUGGUGAUGACAUGAAUCCUACUCUAUCAGCCAACUUCAGGCAAUUUUUCAGAAUUCAGACUACAUUGCAUGAUCUCAGUUUUUUAGCUGUUUGAACCUGAGCUGGCCUGUGACAGAGACUGGCUAUCUGCCACCUUCUGAUAGGAAAGAGGACAAGAGUUUCAGUCGUCGCAAUGGCGCGGCCAAAAAAAAGGAAGCAGUGUCAGUGUGGCCUUUCCCCUAACUCCAAGUUGCCGCAGGCCCAAGUAUAUCCGGCUUUGCUCACAGUCUUUGAUCUGUCACCAUUACUUCAAAAAAAUUUGAAACUUUUAAAUAUGUUUUGAUUUUUUCUUCCUUUUUGCAAAACGAGCUCCAUGGGGCUCGGCCUUUGCAACGCCACACUCCUAAAUGGCCCGACUACUAGGGCUGCCAAUUAAUGAUAUUUUUUAUUUUUUCAUAAACAUGAAAAACAGUGUAUUCAGUUUUUACACACUGAAAACUAUGAUCACAAAUAAAUUGAUAAUGGAAACUGUUUGCUUAUUAUGGAAUAGUGCCGUGCAUUUAAAAGUUGAUGUUCACGUACUUCAAAAACUAUUUACAUAGCUCCAAGGAGAUGUUCAUGUAUUCAAAUCAAAAUGUGCAUACAUAUGAAAUAAAUCCUUAUGACUUCAAUAAAUCACGUUUUUAAAGUAAAUGUUCACAUACUACCAAAAUGUUCAACUGUUUGCUAAAAAAAGAUGUAAACAAAAAAUAAGAGUAAACUUAUAAAAUUAGAAACAACAAAAAAUAAUCCCUGAUCAUGGGCAGUAUGAUUUGAUCUGUACUCUUUGCAAUGAGUGUAUGAUAGGGUUCACUCAUAAAACUUAUACCUCGCGUAUUGCGAAAUAUAGCAAGCACUUGCCGAUGUGCGCGUGCAAAAUUUACCACAACCCAACACUACUUGUUUUGGUUUUGAUUGUUUGUUGUUUGUUUAAAUUUCUUUUUAUUUCUUUCCGUUUUGUGUUUUUUCUUAUUUCUUGUAUUUCAUGUGUCGCAUAUUUACUCUUUUUUUGUUUCUUCUGUCUGACCAUUUCUAUUUAUUUUUGGUAUAUCAUAUUUUUUUGGUGACGUAUAUUAACACUACAUUUUAUGAAAACUCGUACUUUUAAAAUUAUAUACAAACACUUUAUGAAAAAGGUUAACACUUUAAUAAAAUAAAUGAAUUUCACAAAAUCAUGUGACUAAUUUUGUAUUAGUUAUAUUUUUUUUUCGAAAAUCAGCAUUUUCUGAAAAUUGCAUGAACAUUUUGAAGAGCUCUGCUUUUUGUAAUGUUGCAUUAUUCUUUGGGAAAAGUAUGUGAACAUUUAUUUAUUUAGAUAAACAUCUCUAAAAAGUGUGUGAAAAUGUUUUUCAUGUACAUUAAUACUUUCUAAAAAUAUGUGAACACUGUUUUAGUGAGAUGAUAAUUUUUAAAUACAUAGAUAAUUUUUGGUUACAUGAAUGUUGUUUAGAAAAUACGUGUAUAUUUAAUGUAGUAUCCAGACAGUUUUUAGAAGUACAUGAAUUAUUUUGUUUAGACGUGCAUGUAUGUUUUACAACAAAUGAUGUUUCAACUACCAAUAGCGGACAUAAGGCUAUUGGGUUGGCCACCUUGGCGUGUGCCAUUAACAGGUAUUUCUCCUUUUUUUUUCAUAAAUUGUGAAAGUAUAUUGAUCUUGCUAAUACUCAUGCACUUUCAAAAAUGUUUACAGAAUUUCCAAAAAGCCAAAAAGUCAAAGAAAUAAAAUGAAAAGGACAAACAGAAAAAAAUGGGGAACCGGUGGAGAAAAAAAGAAAAGGAAAAUCCGCAAUAAAAAUCAGUAGAAUCGACUAUAGCUACAGUUACUGCUCUCCUAGGUAGCCUGGCGCUAUGACGCUCUCGUCUGUGUGUUUCAGCGACAAUUUGUCUCAACAGGCAAAGAAUAAGAAAUUCCCUUAGUUUUGGGCUUUGUACGAAGCACUCCCCUAAGCCAACAUCACAAAAGAUAUAACAAGGCCAACAAUAGGUGGUGGCGUAUGCACUUGAGAAAGGAUGCGUGUGUGCUGAUAUCUCAGAUUACAACAAACUCAGCACACGCGCGUGCAUUACUGUCAGCCCUAGACUCCUCUAGAAGCCCAUGGUUUACACACCAUAUGUCGGUUUGUACAAAUUCCAACACUAUUCCUCAAUCACAACUUUAUCGAGUCGAGAUUGUUCCUAAAGUUCUCUAGUUUUGCUUGUUAGACAAUGGCUUUGGAAACACAUGUAGAACUUGUGCCGGGAUGCGUGCGUGUUGAUAUAAGGUGCCGGUUGGCUAGAUUACAGAGGAGUUCGGCUGAGACGUGAAUUGGGUCCCAAGUUAGCUAUAUAGAUAAGGAUCCUUUCUCUCUCCCAAUCAGAUCUGCAUCAGCCGCGUAUGGUAUAAGGCUGCAAACCGAUGAUUUCUACCCUUUAAGCUUGGCUGUGUAUGGUGAACAAAACCAAAAUCAGUUCACAAAGCGCCUUUCCUGACUGGACAAGCUUAUUUCUGACAUAUCUGACUGGAAAAGCUCACCCUUGGUUCACUGGCCUUGCUAUGGGCGGAUACAUCUUUUUCAUAGUAUAAAUAGACCCCUUAAUUAAGCUCACUGCCAUAUCCAACAAACUAUUUGUUGUAGAGGAUCAUCCACACAGCCAGCAGCCACAAUGGAAGCGAGCGUGCAACAAGGCAACUAUGUCCAAGUCUACGUCAUGCUCCCUGUAAGCACCAUCCAUUCAACUCAAUCUCUAUUCUCUAAGCACCAUGCACUACAACCAUUUCAAGGAUCUAAUUCACACAUGCAAUGUUGUACAUAUAAUACCGUUAUUCUUAAACACUCUAGUUCAAAGGGUGAAGUCAACAAGAUCUGAGGCCUCAAAAUGAGUAUUUUAUUUGUACUAACCUUGACUUCGUUUUUGUUGUGGAAAUAAAUAGCUGGACGCCGUGAGCGUGAACAACAGGUUCGAGAAGGGUGACGAGCUCAGGGAGCAACUGAAGAGGCUGGUAGAGGCCGGUGUGGAUGGUGUCAUGGUAGACGUCUGGUGGGGCUUGGUGGAGGCCAAGGGCCCCAGGGCGUACGACUGGUCCGCCUACAAGCAGUUGUUCCAGCUGGUGCAUGAGGCUGGACUGAAGCUAAAGGCCAUCAUGUCAUUCCACCAGUGUGGUGGCAACGUCGGUGAUGUCGUCAACAUCCCGAUCCCGCAGUGGGUGCGGAAUGUCGGUGCGAGUGAUCCGGACAUUUUCUACACCGACCAGCACGGGACUAGGAACAUUGAGUACCUCACCCUUGGAGUUGAUGACCAGCCUCUCUUCCAUGGAAGAUCUGCCGUCCAGGUUAAUAUAAACCACCACUCUAGCUCUCUCGUGCUUUUUUUUUUCAUUCAAAUGUGUGUUGUUUUGUGUAUUUAGAGAGAAAAUUUCAAGAUGAAUGCAAAUACAAGCAAAAGGCCAAAUGGUGCCAAAAAUAUAUAUCAACAGAAACGAAAUAUAUAUCAAGAGUGAAAAGAAUCUAGGGCCUAAUCACAGGAAGAACAAGUAGUUGUGAUUUUGAUAGGUACAAUGUGCUGAUGGUAGAAAGCUUUGAUUCUUCUUUCUGGCCGUGACAGAUGUAUACUGAUUACAUGGCAAGCUUCAGGGACAACAUGAAAGAGUUCUUGGAUGCCGGUGUUAUUGUAGACAUUGAAGUCGGACUUGGCCCGGCUGGAGAGUUGAGGUACCCAUCCUAUCCUCAGAGCCAUGGAUGGUCAUUCCCAGGCAUCGGAGAAUUCAUCGUAAGUGUUUUUUUUUUCAAAUAAAAAUAUUUCCUCUUUUGUUCCGACUAAUAUACUUUUACAUGUAACAUGUGAUGACCAAAGGCGGUUUAUUAUUGUCCAAGUGACGAUCUACAUUGGAAAAGUUUUCUCAGCAAACCAACACCGAAAUGAAAAGGGAUUCUCAUAAAAAACGCAAGGAUAAAAUGGCAAUUUCAGAUCAGAACAAGGCAUGGCUAGACCUGACUUCAUCAGUUCUCCUACCCCAUACCCCGAUCCCAAUUUUCACUUUUUUAUUUCUCCUAAAUAAGACAUCAUACAAACUUGACACAUAUGAACUACAAUAUGAGAAAAAAAAUAGGAUUCGUUUGUGCAACAUAAUCAAAUACUUCAAAUGAUAACUGUCUUGGGGAAAAGACUAAUUUCAUAUAUAUAAGCUACACCCAAAAAAAUCCAAAAUGGUUUUCUGCACAUUAAUUGUAGUCCCAAUUUUUCAUUGACCCGCAAUAUUUCAAGUUCAUAUAUUGCUUUUUGGAAGAAACAAAAAGAAGUAUCUAUAUGGUGAGAUUAGUGAGCUAGUGCAUACCUUGAUGCAAGGCAGAUGGCACAGAUAGNNNNNNNNNNNNNNNNNNNNNNNNNNNNNNNNNNNNNNNNNNNNNNNNNNNNNNNNNNNNNNNNNNNNNNNNNNNNNNNNNNNNNNNNNNNNNNNNNNNNNNNNNNNNNNNNNNNNNNNNNNNNNNNNNNNNNNNNNNNNNNNNNNNNNNNNNNNNNNNNNNNNNNNNNNNNNNNNNNNNNNNNNNNNNNNNNNNNNNNNNNNNNNNACAUGAAAUAAUUAAAAAAAGUAAAAUAAUCUAUACCAUCACCAUUAAAGACAAAAGGACUCCAUUUAACUGUUUUAACUAAUAGUACAAAUUAAAAAAAAUCCGCAGUGCUAUGAUAAGUACCUGCAAGCAGACUUCAAAGCAGCAGCAGCGAUGGUUGGCCAUCCUGAGUGGGAAUUUCCUCGCGAUGCCGGACAGUACAAUGACACUCCCCAGAGAACUCGAUUCUUCGUGGACAACGGAACAUAUCUCACUGAGCAGGGGAGGUUUUUCCUUGCAUGGUACUCCAAUAACCUGAUCAAGCACGGUGACAAGAUCUUGGACGAAGCAAACAAGGUCUUCUUGGGACACAGAGUGCAACUGGCAAUCAAAGUAAGUACCAUCAUCCUAAAUAUCUCAGUUUCUUACAAUAGUAGAUAGGAUUUGAGAAACCAUGAUUCAGUUGAGAAGUAGUGUAUGAUAAACAACAACAACAACAACAACAAAAAGUACACAAAUUCAUUCUAACACUCUAGGCUAAAGGAACUUGCAUUUCUUAAUCUAGAAUGUAAAUGAGACAUGGCCAAAUGUUUGGUUGCAGAUCUCUGGCAUUCACUGGUGGUACAAGGUUCCAAGCCAUGCAGCCGAGAUCACAGCUGGGUACUACAACUUACAUGAUAGAGAUGGCUACAGACCCAUAGCACGCAUGCUCAAAAGGCACCGUGCUAGUCUUAACUUCACUUGCGCCGAGAUGAGGGACUCGGAGCAAAGCUCACAGGCCAUGAGCGCACCGGAAGAACUAGUCCAACAGGUAGGUAGCUUGUGUCUCCAGAGUUUACGCUUAGACAUCUCUGAUAGACACAUCUAACGUACUUGUCGUCGAAAUUCUCAGGUGUUGAGUGCUGGAUGGAGAGAGGGCCUAAAUAUGGCAUGCGAAAAUGCACUUCCUCGAUAUGAUCCAACUGCUUACAACACCAUACUCAGGAAUGCAAGGCCUCAUGGCAUCAACAAGAGCGGCCCUCCUGAGCACAAGCUGUUUGGAUUCACCUACCUCCGGCUGUCGAAUCAGUUGGUGGAGGGACAAAACUAUGUCAAUUUCAAGACCUUUGUUGACAGAAUGCAUGCCAACCUGGUUAGUGCCACAACCCCUUGUUCAUGCAUGUCAAAAAUUAAACAGAGGAAUCAUUAAUUUGUUGAUUUGCACCGGCCUAUUACAAUAAUGCAAUUUGAUUCUUUUCAGCCUCAUGACCCAUGUGUUGAUCCAGUGGCGCCUUUGCAAAGAUCAGGGCCAGAACUGACGAUUGAAAUGAUCCUACAAGCAGCGCAGCCAAAACUGGAUCCAUUCCCCUUUGAAGAGCACACCGACCUGCGAGUUCAAGGCCUCGGUGGCAUCGGUGGGGAUGUUGAAGGCCCCACUGGUGGCAUGGGUGGGGAGGUUCAAGACCCCACUGGUAGCAUGGGUGGGGAGCUCCCUGCCACCGUGUAAUGAAACCUUUAUGAUCUACAGUACCUUUUAUGUUGUGUGUGACAGAGAAACCUUUCUCUGCCUUAUUAAUAGCAAUAAAUAAAGCACAUCACUUGUGCGUGUUCUGGAAGAAAAAUCUCAGUGCUGGAAGGGUUAAUCUUCUCUUUGUGAGAAUUAACCGUGCCCUAGAAAUAAGCCGAUGAGGAUAAAUAAGAUGUGGUGCUACAGUACAUCAUGAGGAUUACUCAUCAAUAUUGGAUUAGUCAUCAAGAGGAUGCUUUUCCAAUGAGCUGUAGUACAUCAGACCUUACAUACCUCCAUUAUGUGCAUAUGAGUGAAUGAACAAACUAUUUUGUGCUCAUUUAGCGAUUGUAUAUGGGUCCAUCAUUUUGGAUUGCAUGUUCACGAUUACCACUCGCAUGGCUUUGACUAAUGUUACGUGGUAAACUACUAAGUGUCCAAUCUACUUCGUUGGAUUUUUUGACCAUUUUGGAUCAAGAGUUUUAGAAAAAAGUUUCAUCUUCGUAAUCAAGCCGUAAAUUUUGUAUGUAGUUUGGUCGCAGUUUACGAAGCUACUCAAGACGAUCAUAAACUAUCUUUUCUUGGUGAACCGGUCAAUCCUGCUAAAGAAAUUCUAUAUUCAUUGUUCAUGGGUGGGGAAUUCAACAUCCUAUGGUUUCAGCAACGAUAAAAUAAUUAGUUUUACAGUUCUUUCUUAUUCAGCAUUGCCAUUGACAAUUUGGAUCUACCUGAGAUAUUUCUGGACAUCAAUUUACCUGGGCUAAUACCCGGCUAGAGUCGACGUUUGAAAAUAUGGGUCACGUGCCAAUGGAUGCUGGUUGGGAAUUGAAAUUUCUUUUGGUAACAAUACAUGAUUUGGUACGUACCAAAGCAUCGCAAUACACCGCUCAGUCAAGUUCGAAUGGUUUGUUGAUGUAGUCAACAAGGUUUUGGAUGGUCGAUGAUGGGUAGAUCGCCUUCCCAAGGGGUUAAAAAAAAUCCUCACUUUGCAACAGUUCCUCGCAUGGAGGGAGUUCUCCCACUGAAUCGAAUCUCUCCCGCGACCUAGGCUAGGGUUCCAUCCCCCGCGUUCCCGUCCGCCCACUCGCCCCCCUCCCGCCCCCCUCGCGCGGGCGAUGGGCGGGCCCCUGCCGCUCCCUCUCCUCCGGCCCCCCUCCCCGCCCCUCUCCCUCNNNNNNNNNNNNNNNNNNNNNNNNNNNNNNNNNNNNNNNNNNNNNNNNNNNNNNNNNNNNNNNNNNNNNNNNNNNNNNNNNNNNNNNNNNNNNNNNNNNNNNNNNNNNNNNNNNNNNNNNNNNNNNNNNNNNNNNNNNNNNNNNNNNNNNNNNNNNNNNNNNNNNNNNNNNNNNNNNNNNNNNNNNNNNNNNNNNNNNNNNGGCGCGGUCGUUGGCCACGUGGCGGCGUGGCGGUACUGGUGGCCGGCGGCACCGCGCGGCCCAGAUCUGGGCCCUUUCGGGCUCCAUCUGGGCUAGGGUGGGCCGGUGACUGGGUGCGCGGCGACGUUGCUCCCUGGUUGGUGGCGAGGAGGCGGUGGUCUGCGGGAGGUGGCGGCUUCGUCGGCCGGCGAGCUGCUGCGUGACGGUAGGGGCUGUCCGGACCCUUUUGGGUCUGGCCGGGCCUCGGCGCUUGGCAGGCCUCUUGUCCGUGCGUCCGUCCGGCUCCGCGGCAGCAUUGGUGGUUGUCCCCUCACGUCGGCGAUAUUGCAGAUGCCCUUGAGGCCACUAUCUCUUCUUCCGUCCUCCAGGUUGUGUUGGUGACCUCAGGGAGACGACGAAGUUGAUUCGGUGUCCGUGGUGGCACAUGUUGGUGGGCGGCGUGAUGGGCGGUGCACUAUGAUUCGUCUGGGGUGGUGGUGGGGGUUUGGGUUGGGAGAAAUCUCUGGCGGCUCGUUCGGCCCCAACGCGGCGAUGCCUGUGGGUGCCGUCGGACCUCCCUGAAGGGCGUCGGGUACGCUCUCCCCCCACUNNNNNNNNNNNNNNNNNNNNNNNNNNNNNNNNNNNNNNNNNNNNNNNNNNNNNNNNNNNNNNNNNNNNNNNNNNNNNNNNNNNNNNNNNNNNNNNNNNNNNNNNNNNNNNNNNNNNNNNNNNNNNNNNNNNNNNNNNNNNNNNNNNNNNNNNNNNNNNNNNNNNNNNNNNNNNNNNNNNNNNNNNNNNNNNNNNNNNACCCUAGGACUAAUCCGGGUAACAACGGCGUCGUCGUCGCCUCCUUCUUGAAGGUGUUGCUUGGUACGCGGCGCUUCAGAGUGCCGGGAGCGUGGUGGUACUUCUCCGGAGGGUGCAGCGGUCGCCGGUCGUCUUCGUUUCGUUGAUCUGCCAUUGUUGGCAUUUCUUUCUCUUUCUUUUUUCUCUGUUUUUCUUUGGGCUUGUUUGUGCUGCGGCCCCAACACCUAUCGUUGGAUGUAUCGAUGGUUGCUUUGUAAUACAAAGCAAGGAGAAACCCUUUUUCGUAACAGUUCCUCGCAUGAUAGGAAGUAAACACCACGGCAUAUACUAUAAAAAAACGCCCAUAUCCGACCGGGUCCUUUAACUAUGGCACAGCCCAUUAGGACAUACUUUUAUAGUAUGUAUUUUUUAUCUUCAACGUGUUAAAAUAUUAUUAUAAAUAGAUUUAUAACAAAAAGUUUUUGUGUACUGGGAACAAGUGUAGUGUGUUUUAAAAUAAAUGUGCAUGACGUCAAAAACGAAUGUUUACAUAGCUCGCUAGGGAUGUUUAUGUAUUCGUGAACAAAAUGUUAAUAUGUAUAAAAAAGGUUAAUGACUUCAUAAACAGUUUUAUGAACUUCAAAUAUUUUUUCUUAUAUACCUUUCUUUGCAAUGAAUGUGGAAUACGGUUGACGGGGAGUUUCGAUAUGACGGCCUUAAGCGGGAACUGUUGGAGCAAAUGUCGAAAGUAAAUCUCCAUAAUUAUAUUUAGUCUGGAAAAUGGUUUUAAAUUUUAAACGUAUGUGUUGCAAAAAAAAAAAGUUCACCUAUACGAAUAAUGCUCAUGUAUCAGGAAUACAAUUUGGUGACGAAUCAUAAAAAUAUAUUUCCAUAUGUGAGAAAGCAUUCACUUAUUUCAAGCCAGGAUGAUCAUGGUAUGGAAAUGUGACAUAAAGCAAUGUUCAUGUAUAAGAAAAAUUGUCCUCAUAUAUACUGUACAACUCCUUUUUUAUCGAGGUGUCGUGAGCUGCUAUGCGUAUAGGAAUUUGCCGAGUUUAAGGGCUGGCCGGUUGUUCUGCUCCUAGUUUUUUUGUGGCACAGUAUAAUCAAAGUCCCUCACAUACACGAGCAUAUAUCUGCCCUUAUGAACGCACACCAUAUCCCUAUAAGCAUCUUAAAAGACUGAGUUGGCAUAACAUCUUGAGAUUUCACAUAGUCACCACAAGCGCCUCGCAGUUGACGGAAAUGUUUCCUACGGGUUUACGGGCUGGCCGUUUGUUUUGCUCGAGUAAUGCUACAUUCACGGAUGAUUAUGAGGGUUUUACAGGGUCAUUAUGACUUGGCAAAUGGUUAUUGAGUUAAGGGGGAGGGAGGGGCCCCACCCACCUGAACCUCCCCGUAAUCAUCUGUGAAUGAAUUAAUGCUCCCCGAAAAAAAAAACAUCCGUGAAUGUAGCAUUAUUAAUUCUACUCCUCGUUUUGGGUUGAGAGUGAUGGCUCGUAGGAGUUUAUCGGUCCCCGGAAGAAUCACUCUCCCGGCAUGAUGGACCCUAGUUUCUUAGCUCUGGCGGCGACCCAAAAUGAUGCCUCCCUUUUGAUGUUGUCGAGAAGAACCGUAGGCGGAGCGGCCAUGUUGCGGAAUACACGGGCGUUUCACCCGUUCCAGAUCGUCCAUGUAGUGAGCAUGGUGAGCGAGGCCAUGGCCUUCCGGUUGGGGACGGAAGUAUCUGUCAACCCAAGCCACCAGUCUAAGGUGGAAUGCCUUAGGGGCCAAGUGGAGGUGUCAACGUGAAUGAGUUGUAGCCACACCUUGACCAAGCCCCAUAGGCGAAUGGUGAAACGGCAUUUGAAGAAGAGAUGGUUAACCGACUCAUUCUCACGCAUGCAUAAGGGGCAUGAGCCACAUGUUGGAAAUAUGCCCUAGAGGCAAUAAUAAAAUGAUUAUUAUAUUUCCUUGUUCAUGAUAAUUGUCUAUUAUUCAUGCUAUAAUUGUGUUAUCCGGAAAUCGUAAUACAUGUGUGAAUACAUAGACCACAACACGUCCCUAGUGAGCCUCUAGUUGACUAGCUCGUUGACCAAAAGAUAGUCACGAUUUCCUGACUAUGGACAUUGGAUGUCAUUGAUAACGGGAUCACAUCAUUAGGAGAAUGAUGUGAUGGACAAGACCCAAUCCUAAGCAUAGCUCAAAGAUCGUGUAGUUCGUUUGCUAUAGCUUUUCCGAAUGUCAAGUAUCAUUUUCUUAGACCAUGAGAUUGUGCAACUCCCGGAUACCGUAGAAGUGCUUUGGGUGUGCCAAACAUCACAACGUAACUGGGUGACUAUAAAGGUACACUACGGGUAUCUCUGAAAGUGUCUGUUGGGUUGGCACGAAUCGAGUCUGGGAUUUGUCACUCCGUAUGACGGAGAGGUAUCUCUGGGCCCACUCGGUAAUGCAUCAUCAUAAUAAGCUCAAUGUGACCAAGUGGUUCAUCACGGGAUCAUGCAUUACGGAACGAGUAAAGAGACUUGCCGGUAACGAGAUUGAACGAGGUAUUGGGAUACCGAUGAUCGAGUCUCGGGCAAGUAACGUACCGAUUGAAAAAGGGAAUUGAAUACGGGAUUGAUUAAGUCCUCGACAUCGUGGUUCAUCCGAUGAGAUCAUCGAGGAGCAUGUGGGAGCCAACAUGGGUAUCCAGAUCCCGCUGUUGGUUAUUGACCGGAGAGGCGUCUCGGUCAUGUCUGCGUGUCUCCCGAACCCGUAGGGUCUACACACUUAAGGUUCGGUGACGCUAGGGUUGUAGAGAUAUUAGUAUGCAGUAACCCCGAAAGUUGUUCAUAGUCCCAGAUGAGAUCCUGGACGUCACGAGGAGUUCCAGAAUGGUCCGGAGGUAAAGAUUUAUAUAUAGGAAGUCCAGUUUCGGCCAGCGGGAAGGUUUCGGGGGUUACCGGUAUUGUACCGGGACCACCGGAAGGGUCCCGGGGGUCCAUCGGAUGGGGCCACCUAUCCCGGAGGGCCCCAUGGGCUGAAGUGGCAUGGGAACCAGCCCCUGAUGGGCUGGUGCGCCCCACCCAAGGGCCCAAGGCGCCUAGGGUUGGAAACCCUAGGGGGCCGUUGCCCCCCGAGGGGGCAUGCGCCCCCCUGGUUGGAAACCCUAAGGGGGCCGUUGCCCUCAGGCCCCCCCUUUUAGAUGGGAUCUCCCCCCUAGCCCCUAUAUAUAGUGGAAGGGAGGGAGGGCAGCCACACCUUGCUCUUGGCGCCUCCCUCUCCCUCCGUAACACCUCUCCUCCCCGCUUGUGCUUGGCGAAGCCCUGCCGGGAUCCUGCUGCAUCCACCACCACGCCGUCGUGCUGCUGGAUCUUCAUCAACCUCUCCUUCCCCCUUGCUGGAUCAAGAAGGAGGAGACGUCUUCCCAACCGUACGUGUGUUGAACGCGGAGGUGCUGUCCGUUCAGCACUUGGUCAUCGGUGAUUUGGAUCACGGCGAGUAGGACUCCAUCAUCUCCGUUCACUUGAACGCUUUCGCUCGCGAUCUACAAGGAUAUGUAGAUGCACUCCGAUUCCCCUCGUUGCUAGAAUACUCCAUAGAUUGAUCUUGGUGAUGCGUAGAAAAUUUUUAAUUUCUGCUACGAUCCCCAACACCACAGUUAGGCCAACCGCGCUUGGCCAAUCGGUCCAGACUCUAUUUUGGAUGGCCAGCCAAGCAAAGAACUUGACCUUGGGUGGAGCCCAAAUUUUCCACACUGCAUGCUUCAAGGGAGAGCGAAUGAGGCCAAGAAAUUGCGCUUUGUAGGCGGACUCCGCCGAAUAGAGGCCACUAGUAAAAUGCUUCCAAACAAUCUCGUCGUCAAUAUCCUCAUGUAGAUGGAAAUCCCGGAUGGUGGCCCAAAGCUCGAGAAAUUGUCUGAAGUGCUCUAUAGAAAAACUGGACGUCAUCUUGAUCUGUUUAACCCAAGCACCAUCCUUUAGUGCUUCCCGCACCUUCCAAUUCUUACGCCGCGUAGAUGAGAGGGGCCAUAUCCAUGGGUUUGCGGUUGUGCACCCAUGGAGAGUCCCAAAAGGUGGUGUGCGCGCCAUUUCCCACGAUAAUAAUUGAGGAGGCAUAGAAGAAGUUGUAGUCCGCGUUAUCGCACGGGUUGUCCAUGCCAACCCACAUUUUAGUUGGGUCCUUCCAUUCAAACCAUACCCAACGAAGCAUCAGUGUCCUAGCAAAUUUCUCCAUGUUUAGCACUUUAAGACCCCAAUUGGCAAUUGGGCGGCAAACGGUGUCUCAAUUAACAUUGCAUUUGGCCCGGUGGUCUUGUCCGUUCCCUCCCAAAGGAACGCUGGCUCAAGCUUGUUGAGAUUUUUGAGGGCGACUUCAUCGUGUGGUACAGUGAAAACGUACGUUCCAUGCUGUACACGGCGCCAGAUAUGGUCUACGUCAGGUCCAGGUCGUAACAAGAAACGGAAACACGAGGCGACGAUCGCGUUUGGAAGGAUGCGCAUGAAUGGACUAGCUUUCGCCUACCGCCCACCGAGCGGCGAGAGCGCAACCUACAUCGACCAACUACCCAGCUGACCUCUACAGACCGGACUUGAAUGUAUGCACUACCUACGUGCUACGUCGGCGGCGAUGGCCGCGUACGCUGGCUACGUGCCGCAUGCAUGGCGAGCUCGGCCCGUGCGUGGCCAGCUAUAGAUACGUACCCCAUGAGUCCCUAGAAACACCUGCCACUGCGAGAGCGAGCGUGUGAGUAGAUCGACGACGAUGACAGACAUGGCCGUGAUGCUGGUGGUGCUGGUAGUGCUGGCCUCAGCUAGGCUAGUUACUCUAGCUGAGUUAGUUCUGUGGUACGCAAGUAUGUUGGUAUGAUCGAAUAAAACGAUGGUGAUCUACGGCGCCAGGCUGCUGGACGCGUCCGACUGCAUCUUGGAGCAGCGCCGGACGGCCCCUCAUAUGUCCUGCCGGACAGGCACUCUCCUCGUAUGGCAAAAUGAAAUUCAAUGUCCUAGACACGGCUGGAUAACGUGAUAAAUCACUCGCCACACGCCAUCCGUGCCGCAUGCUCUGUCAGCAUCCGUGUCGUGUGAUCUAUUGCCAUCCGUUACGCCAACGCCGCCUUGAACUCUCUAUGCAUGGUGAUCUCCUUCUUCCUCCUCUCAAGUCACUUCUUGCCUUCGGCAUCUAAGAGGCUUGCGUCCGUUAAUAUUAUCAUAGAAUCCUCCGUGUCUUGAGCCAGCUGCAACCUCUCCAUUUCAAUCUCUACGGUUCCAAAAGUUCAGGCUUUCUUGAGCUCCCAUUUUGGACACACCUCCUUCUUCUCCAAACUAUCCUCUCCUCAAUUUCUAACUCUCGUUGCUUUACUGAAAAAGGCUUUCGCCCCGCUUUAUAUAUAAAGCAAAGAUUAUCAACAACCCGGUACAACGCACGCCACCAGAAUACACGCACACACCCAGGGCAGGAUACAUAGGCGCUGAGCGCAGCAACACCACCCAUAGCACUACAAUAGCAACCGGGGGCCUCAACCGUGAACACGCCACCGCGAAGAGAAGAAGCUACAUACGAUGAACCGUGGGCUCCAAAGCGGUGCCAACAGGAAGGUUACGACACUGAAGCGCCGCCACCGCCCGACCCAAGGAUCAGGGUUUCCCCUGAAGCAACACGACGGGCAGUGAGAGCCGCGUAGACGCCUUCAAGAAGGGAACGAGCUUUGCCGUCGCUGGUCCGUCCGAAGAUAGAACAUGUUUUCACCACCACCGAACGUCACACCCUGGCUACCAUGCCGCCCACACGGCCAUGGCCACCAGGCAGCACCAAGCCACGAGCUUUGCCCAUGAGCACCGCGACACCACCACCAGGGCCGCCGCCCCGGCAUCCAGGAUCUCGAUGCCACCUCACCCACCACCCACCUCUACCCCAACCAAAGAGACGAGUGGAAAGGAACCGCCUUUCGUACCCCUGAGCAGUCAACGGGCAGCCCCGAGCCAGCGCCACCAUCCUCGCCGCCAAGGGCCGCCGCAUGCAAGGUCGGCCGAAGCCCACACCGCCGCCAGCGCCACCACCAGCACGAACCACCACCACCGCGCCGCCACUCCACCGACCACCGCAGAGACGGCUUCCCACAAAGUACCCAGCCCGCGCCGCCCGCCAGAUCUGGCCGCCGCUGCAACAGCCGGCGUCAGUGCAUGGACUGGCACGCCCCGCCCCUGCACAGCCCACCUCACCGCCAGCAAGGCCCCGAGCUUCCUCCACGCCAACCCACCACCACGUCCCGCGCACCGCAGCGCCCAAGACCAACAUCGCCGGCCCGCGCCAGCCCCUGACGAGCGAGGGGGUGAGAAGUGCCCGCCGCCGCCGGCCAGGCUUCGCCCGGCCGCGCCCUUUGGCGGCGGUGGGAGGGGGAGGGAGAGGCGGGCGGCGGCUAGGGUUCCUCCCCUGCCGCCCGCGGGAGCGCCAGAGGAGGAGGAGGUCGCGUUGACAGUUGUAUUUUGGGCCACUCAUUGCUUUCAUUUGCAACUUAUUGUUUAUCUUCUUCCAGUCCUAAUCCAUCCUCUCUUUAUUCACAGACAAGAUGAGUUUGUACCUCUCCUCUUUUGUGUCCCCCCUUGUGGAAAACUGCGUGCCCAUGUGAUGGACAUUUUUGAUGUCGUGGCAUCACGAACAAUCCUACGCUUCUCCUGAUGAGGUCACCUACUACAGGUAGGGUCAAGGACCUGUCAUAUGGAACCCACCUAGGGCCCCACACCAUCAUCGGUAGGUCUCUGGACCAUAGGUGCAUUCGGAUGCGUAUAACAAAAAGUCGAUUCGAACGCACGGACAUCACUCGGAUGCCUACCCUCCAAUCGGCAUGACCACCACCACUCGGACAAGGGAGGUGGAAGGAUGACAUGGGAGCUGCAACGGUCGAGUAGUCUUAAGUCGAACUUUAAGUAGAGUCAUAGCUACCAUUACAUGUAGCUAUCAUUGAUGGGGUUAUGUACCUAGGGUAGGGUCAUGGACCUGUUCCAAGUAACUUACCCUAGGACAUCCCUAGAAGAGGUCGCCUUCCAGUCGACCAACGAGGAUUCACUCGACUGGCCUGAAGGACUCGACCAUGAAGACUCACUCGACCACCAGGAGGUCAAGAGGCACUCUGCACCGCAACGGCCUGUAAUUAAGUAGACUUUAUGAUAGUAAAGGCACUUUAUGUGGGGCGUUACCAGUAACGCCCCAGACUUAACUCACCUUAAACCCUCUCCUACGUGGGCUGGCUGGGGUCCUGGCGCACUCUAUAUAAGCCACCCCCCUCCACAGGCAGAAGGGUUCGGCACCUUGUAAUCCAUACAUUCAUAAUCCACUCGACCGCCUCCGGGCUCCGAGACGUAGGGCUGUUACUUCUUCCGAGAAGGGCUUGAACUCGUACAUCCUUUGUGCUUACAACCUCUCCAUAGCUAGGACCUUGCCUCUCCAUACCUACCCCCCACUCUACUGUCAGGCUUAGAACCACGACAGUUGGCGCCCACCGUGGGGCAGGUGUUUUAGCGAUUUUGUGGAGAAGUUGCGAUUCUUCCGAGUACUUUCAUCAUGGUGUCUGCUGGAAUUUUGGUCGAGGGUCAAGAGAUCCGUCUCGGCGCUCUCGCCUUCAUCGCCGACGACUCCGCAUGGCUCCAGGAGGCUCCACUCGACGUAGAUGCGCUCCCCGUCCGCGGUGCGACGCAUUUUCGCGCAUGUGUCCGCGGCGUUCUGCUGCGGCAACCAUCGACUCAGUAUCGGUCGGCUCCUCCAUCUUCCACCCUCCCGGUCUCCCGCCAGCGCAAGCGCUCAGGCCGGUCGAGGCUUCAGCGAUGGGUGAGUCACGCGGUGGCUCGCCAGUCAGCCACUACACAAGUUGCGGCAAUCGAGCCCAACGAAUCUCUCUACGGCUUGUUCGAUCAGUCGACUGGCUCCGGAGAGACUGCAUCCGAGUGCGGAAGCAGUGAUCCAGUGGCGGAAAUCUUGAUGGUCGACGGGCCCCACAGUCCUCCUGGCUUCGCCCGUGGUGGUGGAGCAGGCGACGGCGGCGACCCUGCACGAGGCUACGAAGAGUACCAGCCCGAGCCACUCGACUCUCUGCAAAGAGAAGAGCUUCGCCGCAGGAACGAGGAUCCCCUGCGUAUUCCCAUCGCAGGAGAAACCCCCGAGGCUCGUGCCUUGGAGGAGGCGCGUCUGGCCAAUUUGGCCGAGCGCACUCGACUGGAGAACCUUCAGCGAGCACUCGACGAGCGCGCGCGGCAACGAGUUCCCGACACCAGUCGACGUCAACUCUUCCCGCCGACUCAGGUAUAUCGAACCCCAAUUCAGAAUUUAGCAGCUGCGACCCGUAUAGCAGAGUCCAUUCAGCCUUCGCAGUCGGAAGCUGGCAGAGGUUUGCUGCAAAUCAGGGAUCUGCUCCGGGCAGCAGGAGAUCAGAAUUCAGCCGUGUCUCAGUCGCGCAACAGAAUUCACAGUCGAUCUGUCACUGUGAAUACGGUUCAGUCGGCUCACAGCCCCAGAUCGCCUCCGCGGCGCGAAGGGCGUGAGAAUCGGCGAGAUCAAUAUGGCGACAGACUCGACCGAGAUGAUAGGCGUCGAGUGCCCUAUUCCCCUCCGAGGGGUGGGUCUUACGCUCCUCGGCAGCCAGAUGAUAGGCGUCAGUACAGUACAGGGCGUAGGGUUCCAGUUGACCCCAGAGAGCCAGGCUUCGACGCGCGAUCCAUUAUCGUGCAAGGGUUGGUCGACCGGAACAGAGCCCAUCGAGGCGCACUCGACAGAGAUGUGCCCACGAGCAGUCAAGUACAUGUUUCUGGUCCUGAAUGUUUCAGCAGAGCUAUCAGAGCCGCAGUUAUUCCCCCCAAUUUCAGGUUGGCAACAGGAGUCAGCAAGUUCACUGGUGAGUCUAAGCCUGAAACUUGGCUUGAAGACUACCGAGUGGCAGUUCAGAUCGGUGGUGGGAACGACGAGGUGGCCAUGAAGCAUUUGCCCCUCAUGUUGGAAGGUUCUGCCAGGGCAUGGUUGACUCAAUUGCCUCCUAGCAGCAUUUACACUUGGGAAGAUCUGUCCCGAGUGUUCGUCAGAACGUUCGAAGGGACUUGCAAGCGACCAGCGGGAUUGACAGAGUUGCAAGUCUGCAUGCAGAAAACCAAUGAGACUCUCAGAGAGUAUAUUCAGAGGUGGAUCACUUUGCACCACACUGUGGAAAAUGUCUCUGACCAUCAGGCAGUAUGCGCCUUCAAAGAUGGUGUCAAGAACAGAGAACUGAGUUUGAAAUUUGGUCGAACCGGUGACAUGACCUUGAGUCGGAUGAUGGAGAUUGCUACCAAGUAUGCCAACGGCGAAGAAGAAGACCGACUCCGAAGCGGCAAGCACAAGCCGAGUCAGUCGGAAAAAGGAAACACCAGUCGGAAACAGAAGCGGAAGGCUGAACCGGCAGCUCCUGGAGAGGCUCUGGCCGUGACUCAAGGAAAGUUUAAGGGGAAACCAAAAGGAUCCUGGAACCCCAAGAAGGUAAAGGAUAAAGAAGGGAACGACGUGAUGGAUAUGCCGUGUCAUAUUCACACGAAGAAAGAUGAAGAGGGGAAUAUCAUUUACCCAAAGCACACCACUCGCCAAUGUCGACUCCUGAUCCAGCAGUUUCAGGGAAAACAGUCUAAGGACAAGGAGAAGGAGCCGGACAAGGCCGAAGACAAAGAUGACAGUGAGGGAGGAUAUCCGCAUAUCAACUCCACUCUGAUGAUCUUCGCAGAUGUGGAAAGCAGAAGUCGACUGAAAGUGAUUAACCGAGAGGUUAACAUGGUUGCCCCAGCAAAGGCAAAUUAUCUGAAGUGGUCUCAAACACCCAUCACAUUCGACCAAUCUGAUCACCCGAAUCAUAUUGCCACCCCUGGGAGGCAAGCUUUGGUGGUCGAUCCAGUUGUCGAAGGCACUCGACUGACAAAGGUGCUGAUGGACGGUGGGAGUGGGUUGAAUCUGUUAUAUGCAGACACGUUGAAAGGUAUGGGCAUUUCGAUGUCCCGGCUGAGCACUAGUAACAUGAGCUUCCAUGGAGUUAUACCAGGGAAGAAGGCCGAGUCACUCGGCCAGAUAGCUUUGGACGUAGUGUUUGGCGAUUCAAAGCAUUUUCGCAAAGAAAAGUUGACGUUUGAGGUCGUGGAUUUUCAAAGUGCAUAUCAUGCCAUUUUGGGGAGACCAGCCUAUGCACGGUUCAUGGCUCGACCAUGUUACGUGUACCUCAAAUUGAAGAUGCCCGGUCCCAAAGGUGUGAUCACUGUCACCGGUGAUAGGAAAAAGGCUGAGGAGUGCUUUCAGAAGGGCUCCAAAAUUGCCGAUUCCCAAGUGACAGCGGUCGAGUUCGAAGAAUACAAGCAAAACGCAGAUCCGAGUGACUUGCUGCGAUCCAAGAAGCCCGCCACAGAAUCUGCAUUCCAGUCGUCCGGUGAGACGAAGCCUGUUCACAUUCACCCGACCGACCCCGAAGCAGCUCCGACCCGCAUCUCCACAACACUCGACCCAAAAUAGGAAGAAGCGCUCAUCCAGUUCCUCCGUGAGAACUGGGACAUUUUUGCAUGGAAGCCCGCUGACAUGCCAGGUGUUCCCAGGGGACUGGCUGAGCAUCGCCUAAGAGUCGACUCGUCUGCAAAGCCAGUCAAAGAACAUCUUCGGCGGUCCGCCGUCCAGAAGAGAAAGGCCAUCGGUGAAGAAGUGGCUCGACUGUUGGCGGCAGGAUUUAUCCGAGAGAUAUUCCACUCCGAGUGGCUCGCUAAUGUCGUCAUGGUUCCUAAAAAGGACAAGUCGCUCCGAAUGUGCAUUGAUUUCAAGCACAUCAACAGGGCCUGCCCGAAAGAUCACUUUCCUCUCCCUCGCAUAGAUCAAAUUGUUGACUCGACCGCGGGAUGCGAGAGGUUGUCUUUUUUAGAUGCUUACUCCGGGUACCACCAGAUCCGUCUAUAUGGGCCCGAUGAAGUAAAAACAGCUUUCAUCACUCCAUUCGGGUGCUUCUGCUAUAUCACCAUGCCAUUCGGCCUCAAGAAUGCCGGAGCCACAUUUAUGCGAAUGAUCCAGAAGUGUCUACUCACUCAAAUCAGUCGGAAUGUGGAAGCUUAUAUGGAUGAUAUUGUUGUCAAGUCACGAAAAGGUUCCGACCUGCUCGCUGACCUCGCCGAAACAUUUGCCAACCUCAGAAGGUAUGAUAUCAAGCUCAAUCCAUCAAAGUGCACAUUUGGAGUUCCUGGUGGCAAGUUACUCGGUUUUCUCGUUUCCGAACGGGGAAUCGACGCCAACCCAGAAAAGAUUGGCACUAUUCUCCGAAUGAAACGCCCUGUGCGAGUGCACGAUGUCCAGAAGCUUACUGGAUGCUUGGCCGCAUUAAGUCGAUUCAUCUCACGACUCUGUGAAAAGGCAUUGCCUCUUUACCGACUGAUGAAGAAGGCUGACAAGUUCGAGUGGACUCCAGAAGCUGAUGCAGCGUUUGCCGAGCUAAAAGCUCUGCUCUCCACCCAGCCGGUGCUUGCUGCUCCAAUCAGCAAAGAGCCUCUGUUGCUCUACAUCGCAGCCACAGGACAAGUCGUCAGUACUGUGCUAACGGUCGAGCGGGAAGAAGAAGGAAAAGCUCUCAAAGUUCAGCGCCCAGUGUAUUAUUUGUCUGAAGUCUUGACUCCAUCCAAGCAGAGAUAUCCUCAUUAUCAGAAGCUUGUGUAUGGAAUAUACAUGACCACAAAGAAGGUUGCUCAUUAUUUCUCUGACCAUUCAAUCACAGUCGUCAGCGACACUCCACUAUCAGAGAUUUUGCACAACAGAGAUGCAACUGGUCGAGUGGCCAAAUGGGCGAUUGAACUUCUUCCCCUUGAUAUCAAGUUUGAGGCAAAGAAAGCCAUUAAGUCCCAGGCAAUAGCAGAUUUCCUCGCCGAGUGGAUCGAACAGCAGCAGCCGACUGAAGUUCACUCGGAGCAUUGGACCAUGUUUUUCGAUGGUUCUAAGAUGUUGAAUGGUUCCGGUGCUGGGGUUGUCCUGGUUUCCCCCAGAGGAGAUAAGCUCAGAUAUGUGCUCCAGAUUCACUUUGAUUCCUCCAACAAUGAGGCAGAAUAUGAGGCCCUCCUAUAUGGGUUGCGCAUGGCCAUUUCACUCGGCGUCCGUCGCCUAAUGGUCUAUGGCGACUCGGAUUUAGUGGUCAAUCAGGUGAUGAAAGAGUGGGACGUGAGAAGCCCAGCCAUGACUGGAUACUGCAGUGCAGUGAGGAAGCCGGAGAAAAAGUUCGAGGGGUUGGAGCUCCAUCAUAUACCCCGACUGAAAAAUCAAGCAGCUGAUGAUCUAGCAAAGAUAGGUUCCAAGAGAGAAGCCAUUCCGAGUGGUGUGUUCUUGGAGCAUAUACAUACUCCGUCAGUCAAAGAAGAUCCUUUCACCGAAGAAACUCCGCAGCCCAAGAGUGCCACAGAUCCGACUGAAGUUGAAGUCCCAGCGGUGGUCGACUUGAUCAUGGAGGUUUUGGUAGUCAUUCCCGACUGGACGAUUCCGUAUGUCGCAUAUAUCUUGAGGAAAGAGCUUCCGGAGGAUGAGGAAGAGGCUCGACAGAUCGUCCGUCGAUCUAAGGCCUUUACCGUCAUCAAAGGACAAUUAUACAGAGAGAGCACGACUGGAGUCGGUCAGAAGUGCAUAACACCAGAAGAAGGUCGUCUCAUCCUCAAUGAUAUUCACUCGGGGACCUGUGGUCAUCAUGCGUCCUCCCGGACCAUCGUGGCCAAAGCAUACCGAGCCGGAUUUUACUGGCCCAAGGCGAAUGAGAUGGCAAAGGAGAUAGUGGAUAAGUGCGAGGGAUGUCAGUUCUACUCGAAUAUGUCGCACAAACCUGCGUCAGCUUUGAAGACCAUCCCACUCGUCUGGCCUUUUGCAGUCUGGGGGCUGGACAUGGUCGGCCCUUUGAGAACAGGACGAAGUGGCUUCACGCAUGUACUGGUGGCAGUCGACAAGUUCACCAAGUGGAUCGAGGCUAAACCAAUCAAGAGCCUCGACACCGGUACUGCUGUUAGCUUCAUCAGGGAACUAAUAUUCAGAUAUGGAGUCCCGCACAGCAUCAUUACGGAUAAUGGGUCGAACUUUGACUCAGAGGAAUUCAGAACCUUCUGCAACUCCCAGGGCACACGGGUCGACUACGUAUCAGUCGCCCAUCCGCAGUCGAAUGGACAAGCAGAGCGAGCUAAUGGACUGAUUCUCAAGGGACUGAAGCCGCGACUGAUGCGUGAUCUCAAACACGCGGCUGGAGCUUGGGUCGACGAACUUCCAUCUGUACUCUGGGGACUGCGGACCACGCCCAAUCGGUCGACCGGAAGAACUCCAUUCUUCUUGGUCUAUGGAGCCGAAGCAGUCUUGCCGAGUGAUCUUCUCCACAAUGCUCCUCGAGUCGAAAUCUACAACGAAGCAGAAGCUGAACAAGCGCGGCAGGACGCAGUCGACCUUUUAGAGGAAGAAAGGGAGAUGGCUCUGAUCCGGUCGACCAUCUACCAACAAGAUCUGCGCCGUUUCCACGCCCGAAAUGUGAGAGGUCGAGCCUUCCAGGAAGGGGAUUUGGUUCUCCGAGUGGAUCAGCACAAACCACACAAGCUUGCUCCUUCUUGGGAAGGCCCCUUCAUCGUCACCAAGGUUCUCCACAACAGGGCGUACCGUCUUUACAACGUCGAGCAUAAUAUCGACGAGCCCCGAGCUUGGAACGCGGAGCUACUCCGCCCAUUUUACACUUAAGUUUUAUCACUCGGAUGAGUUGCAAUAAAGUACUUUUGUAGUUCAUGGGUUUAGAAAUAAUUGUGUCAUCACUUUUUAUUUUUGUCCACAUAAAAACUCCCCCUCAGUGGGUGGCUUAGCCGCGAAUCCGUUUCGCCUAAGUUUGUAAAAAUCCUAUCGAGUGGUGAGCCAGACUCUCACUCGGAGGCUUAGCUGCGAAUCCGUUUCGCCUAAGUUUAUCAAAAUCCUACCGAGUGGUAAGCCAGCCUUCCACUCGGGGGCUUAGCUGCAGUCCAAGCACUCGCCUAAGUUUAUCAAAAUCCUACCGAGUGGUAAGCCAGCCUUCCACUCGGGGGCUUAGCUGCAGUCCAAGUGCUCGCCUAAGUUAUAAAAAUCCUACCGAGUGAAGAGCAACCCUCUCACUCGGGGGCUUAGCUGCAGUCCAAGCACUCGCCUAAGUUGUGAAAAUCCUACCGAGUGAAGAGCGAUCCUCUCACUCGGGGGCUUAGCUGCAGCCUCGUGCUCGCNNNNNNNNNNNNNNNNNNNNNNNNNNNNNNNNNNNNNNNNNNNNNNNNNNNNNNNNNNNNNNNNNNNNNNNNNNNNNNNNNNNNNNNNNNNNNNNNNNNNNNNNNNNNNNNNNNNNNNNNNNNNNNNNNNNNAAUCCUACCGAGUGAAGAGCAACCCUCUCACUCGGGGGCUUAGCUGCAGUCCAAGCACUCGCCUAAGUUGUGAAAAUCCUACCGAGUGAAAAGCGAUCCUCUCACUCGGGGGCUUAGCUGCAGUCCAAGCACUCACCUAAGUUUAUCAAAAUCCUACCGAGUGGUAAGCCAGCCUUCCACUCGGGGGCUUAGCUGCAGUCCAAGGGCUCGCCUAAGUUAUAAAAAUCCUACCGAGUGAAGAGCGACCCUCUCACUCGGAGGCUUAGCUGCAGCCCAGUGCUCGCCUAAGUGGACUAAAGAAUAAGUCGAUUGCGGUACAGGCACCUUGCUUUGAACCUGCAAAAGACAUUCCGAGCCGAAGGCAAUCAUAUUCAAGCGCCAAAUUCAAGUUUGAAUCGAUAUCUAAAGGAACCGAAAGUGCUCGGGCGUCAAGCCUGUUAAGGUUUGUCGGUUACAAUUCCACUCGGCAUACCGAGGCAAAUUUAAAGUGUCGAGCCAGAAGAAGUUUUUUACCCCUCCUGCGGAGGGCUGGAAGGUGCAACAAAUUCAUCAAGGUCAAUUCCGUCGGCGAUCCGAGUGGCAGCUGCAAGGAAAGUCUCCAUAAAGGACCUGAAGUCGUGCUUCUUGGUAUUGGCCACCCGAAGGGCCGCCAGCUUCUCCUCUCGUGCAUCUUUGCAGUGGACUCGGGCCAGACACAGAGCGACAUCUGCACCACACCGAGCCGAGGACUUCUUCCACUCCUGCACUCGACCAGGGAUCGUGUUCAAGCGGGCCAUCAGCGACUCAAGGUCAUUCUGAAGUGUCUCCUCAGGCCAGAGCGUCGAGUCGAUGCGAGAUGUGGCGGCCUUCAGCCUUGCGAGAUAGUCCACGACAGCUGCGACACGAGACUCCAGUCGGAAAACAUCCAUGGCAACUUCGUCGUUCACCGGAGAAUUGACGGGGUCAAGGUUUGGCUCCAGUCGGCUGGUUUCCUCUUCAAAGUUUUGACAAAAUUCUGCAAGGGCGAUCACUAAGUCAAGGGGAUAGUCGAAUGGAAGAAGCCACAGUUGGAAAUAUUUGCCAAACAUGGAGGUUUACCUUCAAGCAUAAGAAACAGCUUCUUGGCAAGGCCACUCAGGAAGGCCUCCAGUUCAGUUUUCUUCUCAGUCAAUUUGCUGACUUGGUCGGUCAAGGCAGCUUUGUCAGUUCUCAGUCGACUGACUUCCUUGUUGGCAAUCCCAAGAGCAGUUUUCAGAUUGGUAUUGUCUUGUUCGAGCUUGGUGACUGAAGCUAACUUCUCGUCAGCAAGCUUGAUCUUCUCAGCUAGCUCAAGGUCUUUCUUCUGCUGGGCCUCCCUUACCUUACCUGCAAGUUACAGCGAGAUCAGAUGCCGAAACAAGCAAGGGGAAAAGCAGUCGUCAGGGUCUCACCAAACAUACCUUCGGUCUCCUCCUUUGCCUUUGUCAGCUUCUCCUGAACCAGCUUCAAGCUCAGCUCGACUUGAGUAUGCUUUUGUUCCAGCUCUGAGUAGCGAGCCACAAGAUCACAGGAGUUCUGCGAAGAACCAAUCGACUAAACGUCAAAUGUAACUCACUUCCGAGUGAAAAAGGGAAAAACACACGUUUCUAAGACUACAGCCGAAUACAAGCAUUCGACCGUAGUCUCGGGGACUACACCCAGUGGGUGCACUCAGCGUGCCCCCACUAAUCCUGUUGAAGACAAAGUCGACCAGUCGACCUCAAAAAAAAAAAACAGUGUGCGAGACGCAUUCUCUAAGACUGUGAUCAACUGCAAGCAGUCGACCACAGUCUCGGGGACUACACCCAGUGGGUGCACUCAGCGUGCCCCCACCGGUUUGCGAAAUCCAGUCGACCAGUCGACUGACAGAAAGAUUGACAUCAUAAAGCCUAAGGCCGACUGCCAGCAGUCGACCUUAGCCUUGGGGACUACACCCAGUGGGUGCACUCAGCGUGCCCCCACCGGUUUGCGAAAUCCAGUCGACCAGUCGACUGACAGAAAGAUUGACAUCAUAAAGCCUAAGGCCGACUGCCAGCAGUCGACCUUAGCCUUGGGGACUACACCCAGCGGGUGCACUCAGCGUGCCCCCGCUAACACGGAGUUUAUUCGACACACCCAGUGGGUGACUAAUAUAAAUUCCGGAAAAGAAAAGUUUUUGGUAGCAUAUCCAACAGAACAAACAGAACUGGCGUCAUAAGCUGCCUGGCUCGCGUCCCGGAUGGUCUUCAGCUGCUCCAUCAUGAGUCCCGCCUGGCGUAUCGCCUCCUUCGCUGCGCCAGCUUGGUCCUCUGGGACGUGGUGCGUCAUGAAGAGGGAAGGCUGCUGAGCACUCGUCAGUGGAUUCGCGAAGGUCACCGUGUGUCGAGUGGUGUUCUCUUCCUCCACAGCCAGAAUUUCAGGCGCCGGCACAUCCUGAGGCACCUUACUGGCGGACGCUUUCCGACUCGUCCUGUGCUUCAGCGGCUCUUCAUCCUCAUCAUCAUCAGGAAGAUCGAUAACAGUGUUGGGUGGAGCUGCGGAGAAGGAUCAGGAUCAGAGAUCGCGAGUCAGUCGACUAAGAAUGGUAUUAAGAACACAGUACCUGGAUUCGAAGUUGCUGCAUCCUCCAUCUCGUGGUCAUCGGCCCGGGCCGAGGUCUCAGAAGUAGCAGCACUGCAACUCCAAAGGAUCAGUCGACUAACCUCAGCGUCGACCAGAGAUAAAGUUCGCACAGAAUAAGAAAAUAUGAGCAACACAAUUACCCUGAUAUGGUGGGGAUGGACACCUUCAUCUUCGGCAGGAGCUUGGUCGGCUUCGAUGAGGCCGCCCUGGGCUGCUUCGGCGCCUUUUCAGUCGGCGCCGGAGAGGUGGUCCGAGGGCGCUUGGUCGACUGAGUGGCGGUCACAACCCCCUUACCACGUUCGGUCGAAGGGUCGUGGACAAGCUUCGACCGCCUUUCUGAGCGCGGUGGAACGACCUCCUCCUCCUCUUCUUCCUCGUCCUCGAUGUCAUCUUCAUCACCUUCAUCAUCAUCAUCGUCGUCAUCAUCCCCUGCAGCAUCCGAGUCCCAUUCCUCCUCUUCCUGGCUCUCGCCCCCGCUCGCCUCGCCCCCGCUCGCCUCGCCUUCCUCAGUCGAAGCUUGUGCCCCAUUGGGCAUCGAGUACAGCUCGGUGAAGGCCUAGCAGAUGCCCAAACAAGGAUCAGUCGACCAGUCGGCAGGGUUAGCAGAAAUGAAUACGACAAGGACACAAUGGAAAGCAGAGCAAGUGUACCUUGUUUGGGUCGCUGUUGUGGUCGAGUGGAGGAAUCCUUCUGGCUCCGCGCAGGUUGUCCCUGUUUCCGGUAACGGCUACCAUCCAUCUUUCCAGAGUGGCAUCGUCGACUUCUUCUGGAUGGACUCUAGUCUCGUCUUCGGGCCCACAGUACAACCACAUGCAGUGGCUCCGGAAUUGAAGGGGUUGGAUGCGACGCCUGAGGAAGACCUCCAGAAGAUCCAUGCCCGUCACCCCCUCCCGAACCAACUGCACCACGCGCUCCAUCAACAUCUUUACGUCGGCUUUCUCCUCCGGAAUCAGCUUCAGAGGGGAGGGCUUGUUCACUCGGUCCAUGGUAAACGGAGGGAGUCCGCUCGACUGCCCUGGCGUCGACUGGACCUGACAGUAGAACCAAGUCGACUGCCAUCCUCUGACGGACUCGGGAAAGGACAUGGGCGGGAAGGUGCUAUUAUUCCUCACCUGAAUCCCCAGGCCCCCACACAUUUGGACGACUCGGGUCUUCUCAUCACCUGGGCUCGCCUUCUUCACGGUCUGAGAGCGACACGUGAAGAUACGUUUGAACAAACCCCAGUGCGGUCGACAGCCCAAGAAACCCUCACACAUGGACGCGAAUGCAGCAAGAUAGGCAAUGGAGUUUGGGGUAAAGUGGUGGAGCUGCGCUCCAAAGAAAUUCAAGAAGCCACGGAAGAAAAUGCUUGGCGGCAAGGAAAAUCCACGAUCAACAUGAGUGGCCAGAAGCACACACUCACCCUCUUCUGGCUGUGGCUGCCACUCCUUCCCCGGCAACCUCGCAGCUCCGUGAGGGAUCAAGCCCUCGUUGGCCAUGUCGAGGAGGUCCUUCUCCGUGAUGGUCGACUGGAUCCAGUCUCCUUGGACCCAGCCUUUUGGCAGGCGGGAUCUGGACGAGGACCCUCUGCGGCUGGUGGAUCUCCCCUUCGCCUUCUCCGAUGCCGACGCCUUCUUGGCACGCUCCAGCGCCACCGUCUUCUCCUUGGCCAUGGUCGCCGGUGAGAUGCACGAAGGGAAGUGGUGCGGGGGCGAGAGCAAGCACGAUGAGCAGGGAGGAAGGAAGCAGAGGGAGAGAGGGAGAAUGCUGAGGCGCAGCACAGAAAUCCUCGCCGGGCACAUUUAUAAGGUCCCUUCCGAGUGGCUGACAUGUGGGCCCGGUCGAUCUAAUCAUAUCUGGGAGCAGUUAUGAGGACUGGAUACGUGGCGAAAAAGGCGGCGCGGAGAUCGAGGCGUCUAUGCCCCGUCCCAUCCGAACGCCGCGGUCUGCCCCGCUUCGCGCGCGCCCCCAAAUUUCGCACCCCGCGGAAUCCGCGAGCAACAAAUCAGUCUGUCAGACGCGGUGUUUCCGGCGAUCCGUCGCUCGGAGAUCGUCGAAGCUCGAAAGAUCACUCGACGCAAAAAUAGAAUGGAUCGAGUCGACCGAAGACAAAUUGCUCCCUGUCAACGAAGAGAUUCUUUGAUCCAGAACAGCGCACAACUAGAGCGCAAAGGUUAAUCGGAAACGACAUCAACUCCUUCUUCACUCGAAGCCUCAAUCCAUUCGGGGGCUAAUGAUGGGGUUAUGUACCUAGGGUAGGGUCAUGGACCUGAUCCAAGUAACUUACCCUAGGACAUCCCUAGAAGAGGUCGCCUUCCAGUCGACCAACGAGGAUUCACUCGACUGGCCUGAAGGACUCGACCACGAAGACUCACUCGACCACCAGGAGGUCAAGAGGCACUCUGCACCGCAACGGCCUGUAAUUAAGUAGACUUUAUGAUAGUAAAGGCACUUUAUGUGGGGCGUUACCAGUAACGCCCCAGACUUAACUCACCUUAAACCCUCUCCUACGUGGGCUGGCUGGGGUCCUGGCGCACUCUAUAUAAGCCACCCCCCUCCACAGGCAGAAGGGUUCGGCACCUUGUAAUCCAUACAUUCAUAAUCCACUCGACCGCCUCCGGGCUCCGAGACGUAGGGCUGUUACUUCUUCCGAGAAGGGCCUGAACUCGUACAUCCUUUGUGCUUACAACCUCUCCAUAGCUAGGACCUUGCCUCUCCAUACCUACCCCCCACUCUACUGUCAGGCUUAGAACCACGACAGUCAUAGUUGGGAAGCGGAUUAGGAGCACUCGGGUGCUCCACCCCCCCUAUAUUUAAAAAUAAUUUAAUAAUUAAAAAAAAGCCAAAAAAAAUCUUGGAUAUAUUUUUGAACCAAAUAUGACUAGGUAUUGUACUCAUAUAAAAUGUUUGGCCAAGGAAUAAUUCCCGUUGACUUCAGGGCAAAAAAACCAAAUUUAUGACGACAAUAUAGCAUGAAUAGUACUUGUAUCUAGCAUUUUUUGGGAAAUCUUUGACCACGGAUACAAUAUAAGUCAUUUCCUAUUUAAAUAUUUUUAUACGAGUGCAAUACCUGGUCAUGUUUGAUACCAUAAAAAGUUCCGAGAUUUUUUGACUUUUUUUGAAUUACUAAAUUAUUUUUGAAUAUAGGGGGGCGUAGCACCCGAGAGCUCCUAUGCGUUUUCGUCAUAGUUGUGACUAUUUACACCUGUAACUGCUAUAGUUAUGGGCAUUAAUCACCCUGGUGACUUGGGAAUGAAGGAGGCUGCGACGCACUGUACAUAAGCCGUCCUCCUCCUCUAGAGCAAGGGUUAAGCACUCUGUAAUCGUACCCCCCCUCCCCCCAAGAAAACAAGCCUCACGGCAUGAGACGUAGGACUGUUACCUCCUCUGAGAGGGGUCUGGACUCGUAAACGACCGAGUGUUACACAUGUGUCGUACUUAGGCCCUGCCCCUAUUUCAUACCCCUAGUACUCAUUGUCAGGAUCGUAACCCCGACAUCUCCCACUUGUUUCCCAUUACUUGGUGGUUAUUCAUUGGCAGAGUGGCUCUUUUAUUCUCCCCUACAGCUUCUUCCUCUUCCUCAUCCAAUCCAAUGGGCCGGUUCAAGUUUGAGCCAUCAUUUGUCUUCAACUUCUUUGGCCUUUCUUGAGGUUUUCCACAACUUGUAUCCACUCUGGUUGGCCAUUCAAUUUAAUCCAAGAAUGGCUAAAACCGAAUGGCUUCUUCUUGGUUGCUGGUACAAAGUGGCCGCCAACACCACCUAUCAAAAAACAAAGUUAUCAUGAUAAUCGGACGUAAAAAAUAUUAGUGCAAAUUACGACAAAGCAAAUCAGUUCAACUUAGAUGAUUUUGGACUCCAAUCCAACUUUGAUUCCGGCCAUGCGGAAGCACAGUGGCCAACAAACUUGUUGAUGCGCUCUCGGAUGGUGGACCAUCUGUGUAGGAGAGAGACCAGAUUAUGGGUUAUAUUGUUCGGAUUCGGCUCCACAUAUUCCUUGUGUUCAUGAUACUGCUUCUAAAUCUUCUCCCAAUACUUGCUGGUCUUCUCCUUUGUGCCACAUAUAGGGUCCAAUCUUGUGGCCAACCAAUAUUAAACCAACAAAACAUCCUCCACUACUAGGAAAACGGCUAUAGAUGAAAUGGACACUAAUGACGAACCACGUGUGUGGUGCGCCAUUAGAAUAUAGCAAUGGCGCAUCACAUAUAGGUACACCAUUAGUAAUAUAGUAAUAUAUUACUAAUGGCACACCUGGUGUGCGGUGCCCCAUUAGAAGUUUUGAAAAAAAAAUUGUUACUAAUGGCGCACCGUGGGUGUGGUGCGCCAUUAAUAGUUGACACAGUAAUGGCGCACCACACCCACGGUGCGCCACUAGAAGUUCGGAAAAAAAGGGCAACCUGGUGCAUGUAGCUCCCACUUGCGCAGGGUCCAGGGAAGGGUCCGACCACUUUGGGUCUAUAGUACGCAGCCUUUCCNNNNNNNNNNNNNNNNNNNNNNNNNNNNNNNNNNNNNNNNNNNNNNNNNNNNNNNNNNNNNNNNNNNNNNNNNNNNNNNNNNNNNNNNNNNNNNNNNNNNNNNNNNNNNNNNNNNNNNNNNNNNNNNNNNNNNNNNNNNNNNNNNNNNNNNNNNNNNNNNNNNNNNNNNNNNNNNNNNNNNNNNNNNNNNNNNNNNNNNNNNNNNNNNNNNNNNNNNNNNNNNNNNNNNNNNNNNNNNNNNNNNNNNNNNNNNNNNNNNNNNNNNNNNNNNNNNNNNNNNNNNNNNNNNNNNNNNNNNNNNNNNNNNNNNNNNNNNNNNNNNNNNNNNNNNNNNNNNNNNNNNNNNNNNNNNNNNNNNNNNNNNNNNNNNNNNNNNNNNNNNNNNNNNNNNNNNNNNNNNNNNNNNNNNNNNNNNNNNNNNNNNNNNNNNNNNNNNNNNNNNNNNNNNNNNNNNNNNNNNNNNNNNNNNNNNNNNNNNNNNNNNNNNNNNNNNNNNNNNNNNNNNNNNNNNNNNNNNNNNNNNNNNNNNNNNNNNNNNNNNNNNNNNNNNNNNNNNNNNNNNNAAAAAUAAAAGAAAAUAAGUUUGCCAUGUGAUAUGUGGUCUAGUUGUUGGGAAAAUUUACAAAUAUAAAUUUUGACUUUAUUUGCAAAAUCUCUCUGAAAAUUUGUAAAAUGGGCAUAACUUUUGUAUACGAACUCGGAUUAAAAAGUUUUAUAUAUGAAAAAUCAUCUACUCGAAAAGUUACAUCCGAAUUUAACUGGGGGAACCCCGUUAAACAUUUUCAAAAUCCCCAAAAACCUAACACAAAAAAAAGGUUUUGAUUUUUUUAAAAAAAUUUCUUUUCAAAAAAUGAUACGUAAUAUGACCGGGAAGUUUGAAAUAUUUUUCAAAAUUUCAUCAUAGUCAUGAACAUGAACAAAGUCCUAGAUAUCAACAAGGUAUAAUAGGAUUGAUAUGCUAGAUAUAUCAACAAGUGCCUGUGAAGUGAGCUGUUGCUAGGGUUGGAUAGAACUCUGAAGUUAAGCGUGCUUGGGCUAGAAAAAAAAUUGUUGAUGUCAUUAGAAAAAAAAUUCUAAUGGCGUGGUGCUAGUGGCGCACCAGUAGUGCGCCAUUAGUAGCAAAAAUAGGUGCGCCACUAGCAGCCCUUUUUCUAAUAGUGCUCAAUUGUUGUGAAUAUCAGGCCUCUUGCAUUGGGUAUCUUUGCCCUUUUCUUCUUAGUGCGCAUGUCCCCCAACAUAAAAAGUAAGAUAAUUUGGAACCCCCAAGCCAUAUUGCGUAGGGUCCGUAGGCUCUUGCCCCUCAUCGAUCAUGUUCGACAUGAAAUUUUCCUAAAAUGAUCAUGACUCAAAAUAAACUAACGUAAUAUGCAACUAAUUGAUUUAGUGGCAUAUGCAACUAACUAAUCCAGAACAUCAUAGUCAAUAUAGUGAACGAAGCGAUAAAAAUGGAGCAAAAUUUGUACCAUCUCCUGAUGUGUCAUUCUGUCGAAUAGGAAUGGGCAGACAAGGCAUGUUGUCUCCAUGGACAGAUAUUUCCAUGAUCUCGGUUGAGAUCGAAGUUUAUGUUGAUUCCCAUUGUAUUGCAAGGACUGCUUAGCUGGGACUGUAUGAUCCACAAAUGACGGAGUCACAUCCGACAGAUCUCGGGUAAUGGGUCCCGAGCUAAGUGUGGCCCACCAGCGAUGGAGUCAGAUCCAACAGAUCUCCGGUAGGGGGUCCUAAGCUAAAUGUCUCGACACGAUGGAAAUAUGGGCAUAUGUUUUUACCCAUGUUCGGGCUCUCCUUACAGAUAAACCCCUACGUCUUGCUUGUGUUUGUACUGCUUUGGGAUGAAGUACACGGUAUAGGUGGUCCACCUCGAGGUUGUUGUGUGUUUCUAGAUUUGAUAAUCUAAAUUCUGUUCAACUCUCUAGCCCGGCCUCGACUUAUAUAAGAAAACCGAAGGCCUAGGUUUACAGAGUCCUGGUUAGCUACGUCAGUGGAGAAGAAUCCUCCACGAGUAAGGAGUACUUGACUUGAACGACAAGACUUCUUGAUUUUCCUCGGAGAUCGCCAUGGGCCGCCCAAAAUGGCCCAGGAUGGAACCGACAAGGGGGUCCUUAGCCCGACCCACCUUGGCUGGGAGUCGACAUGGUGAGAGUGAAAGCUCCAAGGUUGCAACAAGUGACGCACAUACAGUGCGCCACUUAUCACAACCUGAGGAGGUGAGAGUGACCUUUGCAAAGAGUGAUCCUUAAUUAGUGAUUUUGGAUUGCCAAACCCUUCUACCGUUGAGAGGUCCUAGUAUGUGCAUUCAGCGCCAUGAACUAUCUUGGGGCUCACCGCUGCUCCUUUCGCAUGUUCGCCCUUGUCAUAUGUCGUUCAAUCCAUUUUUUUAUCCGCUCUCUUACAGUCCAUGAACUUAAAAAAAAUAUGAAAAUAAAAAAGAAUUACGAACUAGAAAAAAAAUUAUGAAUUUGAAAAAGUUCAACGGGUAGACUUUUGACAAGCUGACCAUUAACCAUUGACCUUUGACCAUAUAUGUUGUUCGUAGAUUUUUUUUGGAAAAAAAUCAUAUAUUUGAGAAAAAGAUCACAAAAUUUGACAAAAGUUUGCAAGUUUGAAACAAAGUUUGUAAAUUUGAAACAAGUUCGUGAUUCCAGUUGGAAAAAGUUCAUAGAUUUGAAUAAUGUUCAUGAAUUUAAGAGAAAUUUCACCUAUUUGAAUAGAAAUUUCAUUAAUUUGAAAAAAGUUCUCAAUUUCGAAUUUGAAAAGACCUCAUGGAUUCAAAAAAAUGUUCACAAAGUUGUAAGAGAAUCACUAAUUUGAAAAAAGUUCAUGGAUUCAAGGAAAGUUCAUGAAUUUGAAAACAAUUCACAAUUUGGGAAAUUUUAUGAAUUUAGUAUUUUUCGAUUUUUUUUAAGUUCAUGCAUCUGAAAAAAAAUGAUCAAUUUAAAAUGAAAACGGAAAAAGUGUAAAAGCUGGUCCAGAAAAAUAAGGUCCGAAGCUUCCAAAAACCGGGACGAGCGCCUCCCACGAAAGUGCAUUACGUGGGCCGGCAAAACUACCCUAGCAAAGAAUGACCUGAACCUAAGCGAUGUCUCAAAUCUCGAUGCCACGAGCAAUCAAGGCGAUGCCUUCAGAAGGAAAACAACGCCGUGACACACAAGCUUUGCAUAUUCAUGAGAGAAGACCAAAAUAACAGUACGUGCCUCAUUGCUUAUUUUGUUUCCUCAUAUAACAGUACGUGCAGUUCAACCCAGGUGUAUAUGUGUAUCCCGCCACUUCUAUCGUUAGGAAAGACUAUAAAUACAUCCAUUCAUCUACGUAUCUCUCACGCUCUUUACUUUUGGCUUGCAAUAAUAAUACGACCAAAGAGACUAGCGCACCACAAUACUACAUAUACCCAUGCUGAUAAUCAUACACCCGUCAAUUCUAGCUGUGUCCAGGUCGAAGUAACAGACGGGAACAUCACGGUGGUGAUGCAAGAGACUAGCGCGUUUGGACGCUUCGCAUCACCUACCUUUGGAUGCCUCGCAUGAAUCAAGUCGUGUCGUCCGCUAGCUUCCGCCUACCACCCACGGAGCAGAGCCAGCGAGCAACUAACACCGGCCAACUACCCACUGGAGUUGAAUGCAGGACGUCCAAGGUGUGCCCGUCAACCAUUCUGCUGACCGUAGUCAUGGCGAGCUGGUGCAAUUCAGUGCAUGCUCUAGGUCUAGGGUAGAGUGUUCAACGGAUUGUUACAGCGGCCGUGGGCGAUUCAUUAGACGGCUCCCCGCAGGUGGACGUCGUCGCAUUUCACUUUAUCUUUCUUUAAUCGCUUACCUGCUCCGUCGGCGGCGAUGGCCGCGUACGCUCCCUACGUGUCGCCGCAUGGCAUGCACAUGGACCGAUGGCCGGCUCGGGCCACGGCAGUGCGUGGCCAGCUAUAAAUACCCCAGCCGGGAGCUCCUAGAUCCAUCUCCACACAACUACCAGUACACUCCACUCCCAUCACACACACGGACACACCUGCAAGAGCGAGAGCGUGAGCCAUGGCGGGCAUGGGGAAGCAGCCGGUGGUGGCGGCGCUGAUGCUGGCGCUGGUGGUGCUGGCGGCGGCGCCGGGCGGGGCGCACGCGGCGUGCCAGGCAUCGCAGCUGGCGGUGUGCGCGUCGGCGAUCCUGAGCGGGGCCAAGCCGAGCGGUGAGUGCUGCGGCAACCUGAGGGCGCAGCAGGGGUGCUUCUGCCAGUACGCCAAGGACCCCACCUACGGGCAGUACAUCCGCAGCCCCCACGCGCGCGACACCCUCCAGUCCUGCGGCCUCGCCGUCCCCCACUGCUAGGCGCCGGCAGGCCCCUGGCGCAUAUGGCAAGCUAGCUGCCUCAGUGACCAUGAGAGCGUCAGACUAUAGCUAGCCCUAGCUGAGUGCGUGUUGCGUCCAUGAACGCAUCUUCCUGUCAACCAUGUGGUUCGACUUUGAUGAUGCUGGAAUAAAAAUAUAAAAUGUUGGGUGAUGAUCUACGGCGGCCAUGUUGCUUCUUGGCUGCUGCUGCUGGUAAUAAAAUUUGUGUUGCAACUUUGAUGAGAUCGGCUGAGUUGUGUUCAAUGACCAAACCAAACUGCCCCUAUCUUAGAAUUGUUAAAUCCAGUGGUGCGGUAUGUAGCGGCGAAGAAUCAAUCGUUAGUGCUUUUGGUGCAGUGACUUUAGGUAUAAGCGGUAUGAAUGGAAUACAUGGAAAUGCUUGUGGGCCCUCUGCAUNNNNNNNNNNNNNNNNNNNNNNNNNNNNNNNNNNNNNNNNNNNNNNNNNNNNNNNNNNNNNNNNNNNNNNNNNNNNNNNNNNNNNNNNNNNNNNNNNNNNNNNNNNNNNNNNNNNNNNNNNNNNNNNNNNNNNNNNNNNNNNNNNNNNNNNNNNNNNNNNNNNNNNNNNNNNNNNNNNNNNNNNNNNNNNNNNNNNNNNNNNNNNNNNNNNNNNNNNNNNNNNNNNNNNNNNNNNNNNNNNNNNNNNNNNNNNNNNNNNNNNNNNNNNNNNNNNNNAACCGCGAUAAAAUUUCUGCUCUUUUUUUUAGGGAAUUUCUACUCUGUUGCUAUAUGCUUUGUAAACAAUCGAAAUAUGCCUUCAAGGGCUCAAAAGAAUGUUUUUGGCUUUCUUAGUAACAUUUUAAUUCAUAGCGAGAGGAUCUUCGAAACAAGACCAAUCAUGGAUAAAACAUUGAACCAGUUUUUAUUUUAUUGUUGCUAUCCUAUUUCAAGUCAGUUUCUGUAAUUUACUCUUUCAAUCAUAUUUGAAAUCAUUUUCAUAUAAUAAGAAAACACAUCAUAGAUUAAAAACUAUUAGUUUCACACACUGAUUUUUUUUGAGGAAAUAUAAAUAGGUUUCCAACAUAAAAAAUCAUAUAUUAAAAGUAUAAGUUUACAUACUGAAAUGAGAAACUUCAGAAAAUAUAAACCAAUUUCACAAAUAAAAAUUAUGUUUCAUAUAUUGAAAAUAUCAACUUCACGCACUCUAAUGAGCAGUUAAAAAAUGUAAAUCAGUUUCACUCAUUGUAAAAUUAGGUUUCACAUUUUUAAAUAACCAGUUGUACUUCAAGAAAAUUCACAGUAACAUAGCUGACAAAAAGAUGUUCCAUGCAUUAUAAAUAUGAAUAUCUCACACUAUAGUAAGCAGCUUCCCAAAUUCUCGCCAAAAGACGAGUUUUGCGUUUUUUAAAGAAAAGGUAUAUAAGAUUUGUAGAAAAAUAGUUUCACAUAAUAAAAGAAACCGUUUAAAGCAUUGAAACAGAAAAUCCGUUUACUGGAUUCAAAAUCUUAGUUUCACACACUGAAAAGAAGUAGCUUAAAGAAAUUGUAAAUCAGUUUCACUCACCGACAAAAAGCACUUUCAUAUACAUGGUGGUAGCUACGCACGCAUGGUGGCAACUACACACCCUUUGUCAUAAGUGCCGUUUUUAUAUAUGAGGGAGUAGUAAGAAAAGUUAUAUAUGAGGUGUCGGGUUUCUUAUGGCAUUGCCACAAGUGCAUUUUUUGUUGUAUAGAAAUGACCUUUUCUCACUUAUCGUUGUUUAUAAAGGGACUUUUCUCAGUUCUCUUUGUCUUUUUGCUUGCCAUUUUGGUAUAAUUGCUUGUUUGCUUGCUUGGAUGGUACAACGUCACGAUAUUUUUGUUAUAGAGUUAUUUUUGGUAGUCCAAAAUAAUUUACCAAAAUAAUUAAAGAUAAAAAUCAGGGAUGUGCGUAGCUACCACCAUGGAUAGCAAAUUAUUUCUGAUUUUUGAAAUAACUUGUUUCACACAUUUGACAAUACAACACUUCCACAAACUUUCACACUUUGAAACAAAUUGUUUCAUAUAUAUGAGAACUAAUGGUUCACAUAAUUUAAAUAAUAAAUUUUACAAUUUUAAUUAUUGUGAAAUUAAUUUAUAUUUUGCUUGAUUUCACAUAUUUUGGUAUCCCAACUAAUUUUCUUCAGUAUUAAUUGAAAUGUUUAAAGCCAGAUCAUAGGUCUUGUUUUAGAUCUUCCGCAUAUUUCAUUUAUUUAGAUAAAGUGAUUUCAAAUAUCAUUAAUCACACAUAUAUCAAAAAAGUGAUUUGUACAAGUUUUUGUAUUUAAAAAACAUGAUUUCAUUUGAUUUAACCAAUUUUAGAAAAAAACAUGUUUCAAAUAAUAUAAAUGUGAUUGAAACAAUGAAAUUUAAAGAUGAUUGAAAUGUAUCCUUGAUUGGUUUUGUUCUAAUGAUCAUAUUGUCAGGAAUUCAAAUAUAUAUAAUUAUUUAAACUAUAAUUUUGGAUUAGAAGAUAUGAAUUAUCCAUAUUAUCAAAAACUGAAAAGAAAUGAAUUGUAUUUUUGUAUAACUCUACCACACAACUCUCUAUGCCCAAAUUGGCUAAACCAUUAUCCUUUAUUUCUGCUUUCUAAACAUUAACUUUUUUUGUUUUUAUUUCUGUUUGUUUUUCCUUUAUCUUUAUCUUUUUAGUUUAUGCUUUUCCACUUUUUUCCAUUUUAAGCUUCCUGAACUUUUUUGUUCAAUUUUCAAAAAAAAAAUCAAAGUCAUAAAUAAUUUUUAAAUUCAUAUAUUUUGUCAAUUUCGUAAACCUUUUUCACAUUCACCAUUUUUUCGUCCAAUUUUCAAAUCCUUGGCAGCACCGAGCGGGCAGCCAACAUGGACGAACUACUUGGCUGACCUACCGACUGGAUUUGAAUGCACUAGGUACGUCCAUACUACAUAAGUGUAGCCAUGCAUGCAUCAACCUCUUUGCUGACCCUAGUCAUGGCGAACUACGUACUGCAGUUCAGUAACUAGCCGGCUCGCGACAGGUGGAUUCUUAAUUAGCUAGCUAGGUUGCCAGCACUCCAAAUACUUGGCGAAGUAUCGGACGGUGCGUGGCCGUCUAUAAAUACACCGGGAGUCCAAACCACCAUUGUAGCAGUCCAUCACACUCAACACCUGCCACUGCGAGAGUGAGCGAGGAGCAGACCAACGUACGACGACGGCCAUGGCGAUGAGGAAGGAGGUCCUGCUGGUGGCCAUGAUGCUGGCGCUGGUUGUGGCGGCGCCAGGCGGGGCGCUCGCGGCGUGCGAGGUGGGGCAGCUGACGGUGUGCAUGCCCGCGAUCACCACCGGCGCGAAGCCGAGCGACGCGUGCUGUGGCAACCUGCGCGCGCAGCAGGCGUGCUUCUGCCAGUACGCCAAGGACCCCUCCCUCGCUCGCUACAUCACUAGCGCGUAGGGCUCAGCUAUAGGUAGGCUACCUCCCUCCAUGAGAGAUGAUAAGAGACUAUAGCUUAGCCUAGCUGAGACCUGAGAGAGUGCAUGCUGCGUCCAUGCACUCACGCAUGAUUCUGGAAUAAAAUGUUGGGUGAUGAUCGGUGCUGGAAUAAAAUGAGUUUUCCUACCUUCUCCUCUGUUUCCCCUCUCUGUCACUUGCUGCAAUCUUUUCAACGAAAACCACGUACAGGAAUUGGCAACCGUCCAAAAUACGCCCGAAAUUACGAUGAGUCACUCACAAAUAAGCCGCAUUGCAGCAGAAAACAUGAGAUGCUCUACAAAAUAGUGAUUGCUUUGCUGUACUGUUGGUUCCAUCGGGAUUGAGCACAAGAAGGCACAUCUUUGAUUCCUUGUACGAUGUGUGGCUUUGAACACUGUGGCACCUGCUCAUUAACUCGUGUGCAUUGAAUUCAUUUAUCAACCUUUAGUUUGGUGGUAUACAUCCCAAGUUCAGUUCCAUAAAAUCAAGCCUGCACUUUUUUUUGGAAGGGCAAAAGAUUUGACACAUUCAUUAAUUAAGAAUGAGCUUAAGAAAGUUGCUAACCCGGAGGCGAAACAAAUGCCUACUCUCCCAACAUAAUAUCACUCAAGUGUUGAGCCCCGGCUAACACCCACUUGCACGUUUCAUCUCGGAUCUUGUCAAUGACUCUCAAGAUGUUGUUGAAGACUCUCGAGUUGCACUCAUUCCAAAUUACCCAUGGACGUUACUCUAUGGCCUCUGCUAAUCAUGCACAAUUAAUGGGGGCAUGGUCACUUUGUUUUAGUCUACCAUUUAUAAAAUUUGGGCUCUUGACAGUUUUUGGGCAUGGUACUAUUCACAUCUCGACUUGUCUUUUUUGUUUCUCUUUGUAUAUUUCGGAUUUUGAUCUGAAUUUUUAGGGGUUGUAGACACAUGUGUUCUGAACAUUCACAAAAAAAUUACACAUCUAAAAUUGUAAUUUUCAAGCUGGUAUCAUGGGAGCACUUACAAUACUGGAAAAACUGUAUACGCUGACUUAUUUCAGCUAAGCCGAGAGCCAAAGCGCUGGCUCUCGGCAAAUUUGAUGAAUAUACCUUACUUAUAGUAUCUUUCCGGCAUUGGUGGAACAUAAUUCAGAUCCGUAACACACUGAAACUAGUUGAAGUCAUCCUUGUCAUGAAGGAGAAUGUAGUUAUGCAGCGUCAUAAUUGCCGCAACAAUCAUUUUUUGUGUUUCAAUCAAUCUUGAGUAGUAUUUUGCAUUUCAUUUUCAAAACAACAAAGGCCCUCUCUAUGCAAUUGCAUCCGCUUGGAGGAGCGGGUCUUUUCUAAUUUCUCCAUAGGAUUAGUAGGGGUGCACCUCUCCGCAUGGUGGUUUUCCUCAAAGUCACAUCCCCAUUCGGUAUCCCGCAACUUGAGUUUCGGGAAUAUGUUGUGAUCACCUUUUAGCUUGUCCCAUUUGAUUUUAAAUCAGACAUAUUUGUAUUCGAGCCUGAUUCACAUCUUGAAUUUCCUUCACACCUCCUCAAAUGCAUUUGGCAUCAAAUAAUUGUUUGGCCUAUUUGCAGCCUUCACUUGCUCCACAAACAACUCAGUGAGAACCCUAGUAUUUUCAUAGGUCCAUUCUGUGGCCAUGCUCAACAAUUGUCUGGGAAAAUCCAUGUCACUUUGGUGCUCACAUGUACUAGGAAAAUACACAUCGAUUGGAGCGUAGGUGCUUCUGUACAUAGCCAAACUCAUGUAAUAUAAAUUGAUGAUGCCCGGCCCAUUGUUGGGGGAAGUGCUACGUCUUGAGCUUGCGUUGGUUUUCCCCGAAGAGGAAGGGAUGAUGCAGCAGAGUAGCGUAAGUAUUUCCCUCAGUUUUUGAGAACCGAGGUAUCAAUCCAGUAGGAGGACACGCUCAAGUCCCUUGUACCUGCACAAAACGAUAGCUACUCGCAACCAACGCGAUUAGGGGUUGUCAAUCCCUUCACGGUCACUUACGAGAGUGAUAUCUGAUAGAUAUAAUAUUUUUGGUAUUUUUGGUAAAAAGAUGCAAAGUAAAAAAUAAAAGCAAAGUAAACAAGCAAAGCAAGAUUAAAGUGAUGGAGAUUGAUAUGAUGAGAAUAGACCCGGGGACCAUAGGUUUCACUAGUGGCUUCUCUCAAGAGCAUAAGUAUUCUACGGUGGGUGAACAAAUUAUUGUUGAGCAAUUGACAGAAUUGAGCAUAGUUAUGAGAAUAUCUAGGCAUGAUCAUGUAUAUAGGCAUCACGUCCGUGACAAGUAGACCGAAACGAUUCUGCAUCUACUACUAUUACUCCACUCAUCGACCGCUAUCUAGCAUGCAUCUAGAGUAUUAAGUUAAAAACAGAGUAACGCCUUAAGCAAGAUGACAUGAUGUAGAGAGAUAAAUUCAUGCAAUAUGAAAUAAACCCCAUCUUGUUAUCCUCGAUGGCAACGAUACAAUACGUGCCUUGCUGCCCCUUCUGUCACUGGGUAAGGUCACCGCAAGAUCGAACCCAAAGCUAAGCACUUCUCCCAUGGCAAGAACUACCAAUCUAGUUGGCCAAACCAAACGAAUAAUUCGAAGAGACUUGCAAAGAUAACCACUCAUACAUAAAAGAAUUCAGAGAAGAUUCAAAUAUUAUUCAUAGAUAGACUUGAUCAUAAACCCACAAUUCAUCGGUCUCAACAAACACACCGCAAAAAGAAGAUUACAUCGAAUAGAUCUCCACAAGAGAGGGGGGGACUUUGUAUUGAGAUUCAAAGAGAUAGAAGAAGCCAUCUAGCUACUCACACUUCAUCGGAAAGGCUAUGAUGAUGUAGAAGCCCUCCGUGAUGACGACCCUCUUCCGGCGGAGCUCCGGAACAGGCCCUAAGAUGGGAUCUCGUGGAUACAGAAAGUUGCGGCGGUGGAAUUAGGUUUUUAGCUCCUCUUCUGAUCAUUUGGGGGUACGUAGGUAUAUAUAGGAGGAAGGAGUACGCCGGAGGAGCACCGAGGGGCCCACGAGGUAGGGGCGCGCCCUAGGGGGGCGCCCCCCACCCUCGUGACCGCCUCUUUUGUUCCUUGGAGCAGGGUCCAUGUCUCCUGGAUCACGUUCGGUGAGAAAAUCACGUUCCCGAAGGUUCUAUUCCGUUUGGACUCCGUUUCUUCGAAACACUGAAAUAGGCAAAAAACAGCAAUUCUAGGCUGGGCCUCCGGUUAAUAGGUUAGUCCCAAAAAUAAUAUAAAAGUGGAAAAUAAAGCCCAAUAUAGUCCAAAACAGUAGAUAAUAUAGCAUGGAGCAAUCAAAAAUUAUAGAUACGUCGGAGACGUAUCAGGCAUCCCCAAGCUUAAUUCCUGCUCGUCCUCGAGUAGGUAAAUGAUAAAAAGAGAAUUUUUGAUGCGGAGUGCUACUUGGCAUAAUUUCAAUGCAAACCUUCUUAAUUGUGAUACGAAUAUUCAGAUUCGAAAGAUUCAAGACAAAAGUUUAUAUUGACAUAAAAAUAAUAGUACUUCAAGCAUACUAACAAAGCAAUUAUGUCUUCUCAAAAUAACAUGGCCAAGGAAAGUUAUCCCUACAAAAUAAUAUAGUCUGGCUAUGCUCUAUCUUCACCACACAAAGUAUUUAAAUCAUGCACAACCCCGAUGACAAGCCAAGCAAUUGUUUCAUAUUCUAACUUUUUCAAAACUUUUUCAAUCUUCACGCAAUACAUGAGCAUGAGCCAUGGAUAUAGCACUAUAGGUGGAAUAGAAUGGUGGUUGUGGAGAAGACAAAAAGGAGGGGAAGAUAGUCUCACAUCAACUAGGCGUAUCAACGGGCUAUGGAGAUGCCCAUCAAUAGAUAUCAAUGUGAGUGAGUAGGGAUUGCCAUGCAACGGAUGCACUAGAGCUAUAAGUAUAUGAAAGCUCAAAAAGAAACUAAGUGGGUGUGCAUCCAACUUGCUUGCUCAUGAAGACCUAGGGCAAUUUGAGGAAGCCCAUCAUUCGAAUAUACAAGCCAAGUUCUAUAAUGUAAAAUUCCCACUAGUAUAUGAAAGUGAUAAUAUGAGAGACUCUCUACUAUGAACAUCAUGGUGCUACUUUGAAGCACAAUUGUGGUAAGAGGAUAGUAACAUUGUCCCUUCUCUCUUUUUCUAUCAUUUUUUUAUAUUUUUUAUUUGGGCCUUUUCUCUUUUUUAUGGCCUCUUUUUAUUUGGGCUUCUUUGGCCUCUUUUAUUUAUUUUUCAUCCGGAGUCUCAUCCCGACUUAUGGGGGAAUCAUAGUCUCCGUCAUUCUUUCCUCACUUGGGACAAUGCUCUAAUAAUGAUGAUCAUCACACUUUUAUUUUUCUUAUAACUCAACAAUUACAACUCGAUACUUAGAACAAAAUAUGACUCUAUGUGAAUGCAUCCGGCGGUGUACCGGGAUAUGCAAUAUGACAAUGAUGAAUGUGUCAUGAUGAACUAGAUGGUGGAAAGUUGCAUGGCAAUAUAUCUCGGAAUGGCUAUGGAAAUGCCAUAAUAGGUAGGUAUGGUGGCUGUUUUAAGAAAGGUAUAUGGUAGGCGUAUGAUACCGGCGAAAGGUGCGCGGUAUUAGAGAGGCUAAUAAAGGUGGAAGGGUGAGAGUGCGUAUAAUCCAUGGACUCAACAUUAGUCAUAGAGAACUCAUAUACUUAUUGCAAAAAUCUAGAAGUUAUCAAAGCAAAGUAUUACGCGCAUGCUCCUUGGGGGAUAGAUUGGUAGGAAAAGACCAUUGCUCGUCCCCGACCGUCACUCAUAAGAAAGACAAUCAAUAAAUAAAUCAUGCUCCGACUUCAUCACAUAAUGGUUCACCAUACGUGCAUGCUACGGGAAUCACAAACUUUAACACAAGUAUUCUUUAAAUUCACAACUACUCAACUAGCAUGACUUUAAUAUUAUCACCUCCAUCUAUCAAAACAAUUAUCAAGCUUCAAUCUUUUCUUAGUAUUCAACACACUCAAAAGAAAGUUUCACAAAUCUUGAAUACCAAGCAUAUUAUUAUUAAGCAAAUUACCAUGCUAUUAAGAGACUCUAAAAAUAAUUUAAGUGAAGCAUGAGAGAUCAAUAGUUUCUUUAAAACAAAUCCAUCACCGUGCUCUAAAAGAUCUAAGUGAAGCACAUAGAGCAAAAUUAUAACGCUCAAAAGAUAUAAGUGAAGCACAUAGAGCAAAACUACUUAGCUCAAAAUAUAUAAGUGAAGCACAUAGAGUAUUCUAUCAAAUUUUAAUUCAUGUAUGGCUCUCUCAAAAGGUGUGUACAGCAAGGAUGAUUGUGGCAUACUAAGACACAAAGACACAAAUAAUACAAGACGCUCCAAGCAAAACACAUAUCAUGUUGGUGAAUAAAAAUAUAGCUCCAAGUAAAUUACCGAUGGAAGUGGAUGAAAGAGGGGAUGCCUCCCGGGGCAUCCCUAAGCUUUGACUUCUUGGUGUCCUUGGAUUUUCUUGGGGGUGCCAUGGGCAUCCCCAAGCUUAGGCUCUUGCCACUCCUUGUUCCAUAAUCCAUCAAAAGAAUUCACCCAAAACUUGAAAACUUCACAACACAAAACUCAAAAUAGAAAACUCGUGAGCUCCGUUAGAGAAAGAAAACAAAAGACCACUUCAAGGUACUGUAAUGAACUCAUUCUUUAUUUAUAUUAGUGUUAAAACUACUGUAUUCCAACUUCUCUAUGGAUUAUAAACUAUUCUACUAGCCAUAGAUUCAUCAAAAUAAGCAAACAACACACGAAAAACAGAAUCUGUCAAAAAACAGAACAGUCUGUAGUAAUCUGUAGCUAGAUCAAGAUCUGGAACCCCAAAAAUUCUAAAAUAAAUUUAUGUACGUGAGUAAUUUAUCUAUUAAUCAUAUUCAAAAAGAAUUAAAUAAAUAUCACUCUUCAAAUAAAAAUGACAGCAGUUCUCGUGAGCGCUAAAGUUUCUGUUUUUAUAGCAAGUUCAACAAGACUUUCCCCAAGUCUUCCCAACGGUUCUACUUGGCACAAACACUAAUUAAACACAAAAAACACAACCAAAACAGAGGCUAAAUAAUUUAUUUAUUACUAAGCAGGAGCAAAAAGCAAGGAAUAAAAAUAAAAUUGGGUUGCCUCCCAACAAGCGCUAUCGUUUAACGCCCCUGGCUAGGCAUAAAAGCGAGGAUAGAUCUAAGUAUUGCCAUAGUAAUAAGAUAGAUCGGUGAAGCUCAUUUCAUAUUCUCUACGUUCAGCAGCAAGUUUUCUUUGAGGCAAGCAAAAGUAAUCAAAAGGGCUAAAUUUAAUAGGACAGAAGUCUCCAAGAUCAAUUUUAGGAGGUAUAGGUUCCUCUUUCGGCCCUUCGUAUUGUACAACCAAUUCAUCAUUAUAAGCAUUCUUUUGACAGAACUUUGUGAGCCUAGACUCAAGAGAGUAUUCUAGCUCAUUAUUUCGAAUAGCCAAAUCAUCAUUAAGUUCAGAGAUUCUAUCAAUUAAAAUAUUGGUUGGCACCUUUUUUCUGAGGUUUUCAUUAAAAGCAACAUAGUCAGGAGAUUGAAAGCACAUAAUUUCUUCUUGAUCGAAGAGAAUAGAUUCUAUGGGAGGACGACCAGCGUCCACCCUAUAGUGCGCAAAGAUUUCUUUGGCUUCUUUUAUUAUAAAUCUGAAUUCAUGAGCCAAAAAGAUAGUAGCGGCACGCUUAACAGAGGAAUGCUCAAUAUUAGAAAAUUCUAGAAAAACUCUUUGUAUAGAUGGGUGCAUAUGAAUAAAUUGCCUUUCAAGUUCAACGAUAAGCAUGGCAAUAGCGUCCGCAAGACUACUAGUUAUAUGGAGAAUAGAACCGCCCAUAGAGGGCAAAGCACCGGCACAAGUAAAGAAAUCUUGAAUAACUCCUUUUCCAAUAAUAUUACCACUACCGAUUCGAAAUCUUUUUGAAUGGUAGGUAGGGGGUUCUUCAGCAGGAGCAUCAGAAUUUUCCAUGAUAUUGUUAUCACCCAUAUUGGCGAUAACUUCCCCAAUUUCAAACAUAACGACAAGCAAGCAAACUAGCACACAAGCAAACAAGAGGCAAGCGGAAAGGAGAGGGAGGAUAGAGAGAGAGAGAGGGCGAAUAAAACGGCAAGGGUGAAGUGGGGGAGAGGAAAAUGAGAGGCAAAUGGCAAAUAAUGUAAUGCGAGAGAUAGGGAUUGUGAUGGGUACUUGGUAUGUUGAAUUUUUGCGUAGACUCCCCGGCAACGGCGACAGAAAUCCUUCUUGCUACGUCUUGAGCUUGCGUUGGUUUUCUCCGAAGAGGAAGGGAUGAUGCAGCAGAGUAGCGUAAGUAUUUCCCUUAGUUUUUGAGAACCAAGGUAUCAAUCCAGUAGGAGGCCACGCUCAAGUCCCUCAUACCUGCACAAAACGAUACCUACUCGCAACCAACGCGAUUAGGGGUUGUCAAUCCCUUCACGGUCACUUACGAGAGUGAGAUCUGAUAGAUAUAAUAUUUUUGGUAUUUUUGGUAUAAAGAUGCAAAGUAAAAAAUAAAAGCAAAGUAAAAAAGCAAAGCAAGAUUAAAGUGAUGGAGAUUGAUAUGAUGAGAAUAGACCCGGGGUCCAUAGGUUUCACUAGUGGAUACUCUCAAGAGCAUAAGUAUUCUACGAUGGGUGAACAAAUUACUGUUGAGCAAUUGACAGAAUUGAGCAUAGUUAUGAGAAUAUCUAGGCAUGAUCAUGUAUAUAGGCAUCACGUCCGUGACAAGUAGACCGAAACGAUUCUGCAUCUACUACUAUUACUCCACUCAUCGACCGCUAUCCAGCAUGCAUCUAGAGUAUUAAGUUAAAAAUAGAGUAAUGCCUUAAGCAAGAUGACAUGAUGUAGAGAGAUAAAUUCAUGCAAUAUGAAAUAAACCACAUCUUGUUAUCCUCGAUGGCAACGAUGCAAUACGUGCCUUGCUGCCCCUUAUGUCACUGGGAAAGGACACCACAAGAUCGAACCCAAAGCUAAGCACUUCUCCCAUGGCAAGAACUACCAAUCUAGUUGGCUAAACCAAACGGAUAAUUCGAAGAGACUUGCAAAGAUAACCAAUCAUACAUAAAAGAAUUCAGAGAAGAUUCAAAUAUUAUUCAUAGAUAAACUUGAUCAUAAACCCACAAUUCAUCGGUCUCAACAAACACAUCGCAAAAAGAAGAUUACAUCGAAUAGAUCUCCACAAGAGAGGGGGAGAACUUUGUAUUGAGAUUCAAAGAGAGAGAAGAAGCCAUCUAGCUACUAACUAUGGACCCGAAGGUCUGAGGUAAACUACUCACACUUCAUCGGAGAGGCUAUGAUGAUGUAGAAGCCCUCCGUGAUGACGGCCCUCUUCCGGCGGAGCUCCGGAACAGGCCCUAAGAUGGGAUCUCGUGGAUACAGAAAGUUGCGGUGGUGGAAUUAGGUUUUUGGCUCCUCUUCUGAUCGUUUGCCGGUACGUAGGUAUAUAUAGGAGGAAGGAGUACGCCGGAGGAGCACCGAGGGGCCAAUGAGGCAGGGGGCGCGCCCUAGGGGGGGCGCCCCCACCCUUGUGACCGCCUCUUUUGUUCCUUGGAGUAGGGUCCAAGUCUCCUGGAUCACGUUCGGUGAGAAAAUCACGUUCUCUAAGGUUUUAUUCCGUUUGGACUCCGUUUGAUAUUCUGUUUCUUCGAAAUACUGAAAUAGGCAAAAAACAGCAAUUCUGGGCUGGGCCUCCGGUUAAUAGGUUAGUCCCAAAAAUAAUAUAAAAGUGGAAAAUAAAGCCCAAUAUAGUCCAAAACAGUAGAUAAUAUAGCAUGGAGCAAUCAAAAAUUAUAGAUACGUUGGGGACGUAUCAGGAAGCUUGUUAAGAAAAAUGCAUUCAUAGUUCCUAAGACAACCAGAACUGAUGAAAAGAAAAUGUAAGCUUAUAAAACUAUAGAAAUUGGGAAGCGUAUAAAAAUAUGAAAAAAAUUAGUUAAAAGAAUGCUAUUUCUAACAAAAACAUGAAGGAUGAACUACAUAGGUAUGCUGCAAUCGCCUAACACAUAUAUUGUCAAUAAAAAGUCUAGUGUAGAAAAUUAACUUAUGACCAACAUGUAUUAAUUGAUGGUGUGGCAAUGCUGUGUGCAUAGAUUAGUGCAAAAAAAACUUAUAACUUACAUGCAUGACUUGCUUAUCUGGCAUGGUGGCAUGGCUAAGAAAAAUAGACAAUAGUUUGUAGCUAUUUAGGAAUAGAGGGUGUGUUCAAUUUUUUAUUGUGUGCAUAUGCGCAUCUGCCCAUGUUUGCACACAUAUAAACACAUCGCAGUAUACUUGGCACACUUCAAAUUAAGAAGCUAGGCAACAUUUGCACACAUUGCACACAUAUCACUAUACAUCACACAUUCAAAGAUACCACCACAAGAAAGUAAAAGGGGAGCUCACCACGGGUCUGGGCGAGGGGGCUUUGGCGAGGACUACCGUCUGGGUGAGCCAAGAAGAGGAUGGCAAGCUCAGAGGUGGGGGCAAAUGGGUAAGCGUCAGUGGGGAAGCUCGACAGUCGGUGAUGGAGUAGUUGUGUGCCUCGGGUUUGCAUCACAAGGGAGAAAAUGGAGAGAGAGAGAGAGCAUGGCGGAGGGGCAAUCUACGCAAUCCUUGAAGGAAAUAUGCCCUAGAGGCAAUAAUAAAGUUGUUAUUUAUAUUUCCUUAUAUCAUGAUAAAUGUUUAUUAUUCAUGCUAGAAUUGUAUUAACCGGAAACUUAGUACAUGUGUGAAUACAUAGACAAAAUAGAGUGUCCCUAGUAAGCCUCUACUUGACUAGCGUGUUAAUCAAAGAUGGUCAAGUUUCCUGACCAUAGACAUGUGUUGUCAUUUGAUGAACGAGAUCACAACAUUAGAGAAUGAUGUGAUGGACAAGACCCAUCCGUUAGUUUAGCAUAAUGAUCGUUAAGUUUUAUUGCUAUUGCUUUCUUCAUGACUUAUACAUAUUGCUCUGACUAUGAGAUUAUGCAACUCCCGAAUACCGGAGGAACACCUUGUGUGCUAUCAAACGUCACAACAUAACUGGGUGAUUAUAAAGAUGCUCUAUAGGUGUCUCUGAAGGUGUUUGUUGGGUUGGCAUAGAUCGAGAUUAUGAUUUGUCACUCCGAGUAUCGGAGAGGUAUCUCUGGGUCCUCUCGGUAAUGCACAUCACUAUAAGCCUUCCAAGCGAUGUGACUAAUGAGUUAGUUACGAAAUGAUGCAUUAUGGAAUGAGUAAAAAGACUUGCCAGUAAUGAUAUUGAACUAGGUAUGAUGAUACCGACGAUCGAAUCUCGAGCAAGUAACAUACCGAUGACAAGGGAAAUAACGUAUGUUGUUAUUGCGGUUUAACCGAUAAAGAUCUUCGUAGAAUAUGUAGGAACCAAUAUGAGCAUCCAAGUUCCACUAUUGGUUAUUGACCGGAAAUGUGUCUCGGUCAUGUCUACAUAGUUCUCGAACCCGUAGGGUCCGCACACUUAAUGUUCGAUGACAAUUUGUAUUAUGAGUUAUGUAUUUUGGUGACCGAAGUUUGUUUGGAGUCCCGGAUGAGAUCACGGAUGUGACGAUCUCGAAAUGGUCGAGAGGUAAAGAUUGAUAUAUUGGAACGUAGUAUUCGGACACCGGAAGGGUUCCAGAGUGUAACGGGUACAUACCGGAGUACCGGAGGGGUUACGGGAAACCCCCGAGGAAAGAUAUGGGCCAUAUGGGCCAUAGGAGGGAGGCUAACCAGCCCACAAGGGGCUGGUGCGCCCCCCACAAGGGAGGAGGCCGAAUUGGUUUAGGGAAGGGGGCGCCACCCCCCUCCCCCCUUUCCUUCUCCUACUCCCUCUCCUUCCCCCUUUCCACCUCCAUGAGAAGGAAAAGAGGCGGGGGGGGGGGGCGAAUCCUACUGGGACUAGGAGUCCUAGUAGGCCUCCCCCCCUUAUGGUGCGCCCCUAGGGCCGGCCUCCUCCCUCUCCCUCCUUUAUAUACGUGGGUAGGGCACCCCUUGGAGACACACCAAUUGUUCCAAGCCGUGUGCGGCGUCUCUCUCCACGGUUUACUCUUCCAGUCAUAUUCACGAGUGCUUAAGCGAAGCCCUNNNNNNNNNNNNNNNNNNNNNNNNNNNNNNNNNNNNNNNNNNNNNNNNNNNNNNNNNNNNNNNNNNNNNNNNNNNNNNNNNNNNNNNNNNNNNNNNNNNNNNNNNNNNNNNNNNNNNNNNNNNNNNNNNNNNNNNNNNNNNNNNNNNNNNNNNNNNNNNNNNNNNNNNNNNNNNNNNNNNNNNNNNNNNNNNNNNNNNNNNNNNNNNNNNNNNNNNNNNNNNNNNNNNNNNNNNNNNNNNNNNNNNNNNNNNNNNNNNNNNNNNNNNNNNNNNNNNNNNNNNNNNNNNNNNNNNNNNNNNNNNNNNNNNNNNNNNNNNNNNNNNNNNNNNAACCAGCCCACAAGGGGCUGGUGCGCCCCCCACAAGGGAGGAGGCCGAAUUGGUUUAGGGAAGGGGGCGCCACCCCCCUCCCCCCUUUCCUUCUCCUACUCCCUCUCCUUCCCCCUUUCCACCUCCAUGAGAAGGAAAAGAGGCGGGGGGGGGGGGCGAAUCCUACUGGGACUAGGAGUCCUAGUAGGACUCCCCCCCUUAUGGUGCGCCCCUAGGGCCGGCCUCCUCCCUCUCCCUCCUUUAUAUACGUGGGUAGGGCACCCCUUGGAGACACACCAAUUGUUCCAAGCCGUGUGCGGCGUCUCUCUCCACGGUUUACUCUUCCAGUCAUAUUCACGAGUGCUUAAGCGAAGCCCUGCGCGGAUCACAUCGCCAUCACCGCCACCAUGCCGUCGUGCUGACGGAACUCUCCCUUGACCCUCUGCUAGAUCAAGAGUUCGAGUGACGUCAUCGAGCUGAACGUUUGCUGAACUCGGAGGUGUCGUACGUUCGGUACUAGAUCGGUUGGAUCGUGAAGACGUUCGACUACAUCAACCGCGUUAACCUAACGCUUUCGCUUUCGGUCUACGAGAGUACGUGGACACACUCUCCCCCUCUCGUUGAUAUGCAUCUCCUAGAUAGAUCUUGUGUGAUUGUAGGAUUUUUUUUUUGAAAUUGCAUGCUACGUUCCCCAACAAUCCUACCUAGCCUACCUAACUAAAUACCCCUGAAUUUCACUAUCUUGAUGUAGAUCCCCAAUGAGGCAUUACAGGCGUGGCCACCACUGCAAUGGGUGGGUGGCGGUGUUUGUGGUCCUCUCACUGACAUUCUUCCACAAAGUCGCGACAAUGUUGCUCUGUCAUGAUACCAAUCUUGAUCUACUUAUCAUCACGAGCAACACCUAUGUAGCGAAGGUGAAGAUUUCAACCACAGGGCGGCAUCACCCUAUAGGUUGACACUCUAGAAGAAGGCCGCAAUAGAGAAACACCAUACGGGGGCAGAGCAGAGAAGCAAAGGAUGGAGAGGUGGUGGUGGCACCGUCCGUGCCCCAAACAUAGUCGUGUUCGCCUCCCUUUGUCGCCUUCGGGAAAAGCAAGUACACCCUUAUGUUUUUCCCAUUAAGUUUUUUCUCAUCUUAGUUAUGAAGGAGACAAUACUAAUUGCAUGUUGUAUACCAUCUUCUCAAUUUUUCCAAGAGUUUAGAAGGAAUUGCAACAGCAUAUCAAGUGUUACUGUCCUUUGACUGUUUACGGUGGUGUGUACGAGUUUGGAGCAUCUUGCUAGUGAUGUUUUUAUCGACAUGGGUGGCGACAUAAUGUAUACAGUCCCUCCAUCCAAAUAUAUAUGGUCUAAUACAUGUUUCGAGGUUACCUUUGACCAUUGAUAAAAUUGUUAAUAUAAGAGAUGUACGAUAUAAAUUAGGAACUCAUUUCAUAUACGAAUUUGACGGUAUGCUCCGUGUAACAUGCAUGCCAUAUAUUAUUGAUCUAACAUGUGGUGAAACUUAACCUUGAAAACAUAUUAUGCUCUAUAUUUUUCUAUUGGAGGGAGUAUAGGCUUUCCACUCCAUACAUCUAGGCAUAGUCACGGUCUUGUUUGACUUUGCUUUUACCGGCGUAGUACUUUGUGCGAGUUUGCAUUGGUUGUACUAUAUGACUUUACUCAUUAGCUUGUAUCACCUUGAUGCCAUAUUAUGUGUCAAUAAAAACCGUUAUAUAUCAAAAAAAACUCUCCUCACAUCUUCCGACAUCACUUUUGGGGGAUUCUUAGAAUUAUAAGGCUGGCUGUAAUGAGGAGUAUCAUAUAGUAGUAUCAUGCAUAUGAUACUAGUGUAUGUUACUAUCUCGUAAUGCAUAGUAUCAUAUAUUAGUAUCAUGUAGCACUUUAUUUAUUGUCAUGCAUGACACAAAGUAGCAUAGCAUUUAUUAUGAUACAGUAUCAUGAUAUGAUACUCCAUCCUCUUUUUCUUCAUUUAGUGCUAUGACACCUCAUCAGUGGCGGAGCCAGAAACUUAAUAUAGAGGGGGCCAAACAGAGUGCUAUAAUGUUAGACGGGGCCAAAUCAACUAAAUCUUGCUAAUUAUGUUUGACAAAUGGAGGAUUAGGAGCAUAUAUAGUUGUAUUUGAGAGAGCAUAGGGGGGGCCUUGGCCCCUGCCAGCACCCCCCUGCCUCCGCCACUGCACCUCAUCAAAAUUGCCUAGUUGGCAUGCAUGAUACUAGCUAUGAUACUGCCAUUACGAUCAGCCGGAGAGAUUAUUAUUAAUCAGAUUGCUUAUUGCUACUCAAUAAAGAGAAGUUAGAUGCAUUUAUUUGUCUAUCUCUCUCGUUCUUUACUUCAACACAACCAAAGGAAAUGGAUGUGGACGGAAGUACUACACCGAGCGAAGCAGCAGGCAGCCAUCAUUGACGAACUACCCCGCUGACCCUCUACCCACUGGGUUUCAAUGCAGAACGUCCAUAGAUGCAGCCAUGCAUGCAUCAACCUUUUGCUGACCGUAGUCAAGUCGAAGUAGUAGUGCAAAUGCAAUUCAGUCACAGGGUGUUCAACUGAUAAUUGCACAGGACGAGAGCGAUUGAUAAUGCUCUUAGACUAGUCAUAGUGGGAGUAACUUAGACUAUCCACAAUGGAAGUAAUAUAGGUACUCCCUCCUUCCGUCUAUAUAGGGCCUAAUGCGUUCUUCAAGACCACCUUUGACUAUUAAUAAGAUUAAUAAUACAUGAGAUGUAUAAUGUGAAAAUUAUAUCACUGGAAGCUCCUUUCACGUACGAAUUUGACAGUAUGCUUUGUGUAACUUGCAUGUCAUAUAUUAUUGCUCUAACACUUGGUCAAAGUUAGCCUCGAAAAACGCAUUAGGCCCUAUAUAGAUGGAAGGAGGGAGUAGUAACAUCAUACAUGUUUAGAUAAAAUGGAUGAUGUAGCAAGCAAUAAAUGAAGAAAGAGAGGCGUGUGGUAACAUAGCUAGUUAGGCUGGUCACAAUGGGCAAGAACAUAGUCUAGUAACUUACACACUUCCCUAGACUAUGUUACUACCUCCACAGUGGGUAGAAACAUCUAUGUAGUGUCAUGCAACAAUGUAUUUAUUAGGUUAUAAACUCAUUGUUUUUUGGAGUGUGUGAUGUUCCGAUAACUUAGCUAGUUACCACAAGCAUCUCUCUCUUCAUUAAAUAUGUGACACAUAAGCAAAGUUGUAUUGGAGUGUGUGAUGUUACUCCUAAGUUCCUCCCCAUUGUGACCAGCCUUACUACUAGUAUGAGUAACAUCACACAUAUUAAGGCAAGAUGAGUCUAUGGCCUAAUAAAUGAAGUGUUGUAUGUUACCACACAUAUGUUACUAUCCACUAUAAAGGUAGUAACAUAGAGUAGCUAGUAACAUAGCGCAUUUCGAGAAAAUUCUGCUUAUGUGGCAAGUAAUUAACGAGAGGUGAUAACAUAAUAUGUUACUGUAACAUAGCGCUUUCCAAUACAAGAUGAGUCUACGAGCUAAUAAAUGAAGCCAUCUAUAAUACUACUAGUAUGUUACUUUCCAUUAUGAAGGUGGACUUGCAAACAUGUUUAUGUGACAGAUAAUUAAAGUAGUGAGAUGGUUAUAUAUAAAUGUGAUGCUAUUAUGUGUCAUGCAUAGUAAUAAAUGAGACCACAUAUUAUACUAAUUUAUGAUACUAUGCACUAUACUCCCUCCGUUUAGGUAUGCAAGUCACCUUAUAAAAACCAAAUAAUCCCAAAAUACUUAGGCACGGUACAUUAACUUCCUCCUCGUUUCUUGUUUUGUGACAUAUCAAUCAAUAAAAGAUGUGGACCGUGCAUGUUUUCAAUGACUUGAAACUAUCAAACAUGAUAUGCAGUGGUUAGUUCAUUAUAUGCAAUGCUAUUAAUUAGCAAAAAGGUAUUAAGUUUUCUCGUUUUUCUCCCUGCCUUGGUCACCUAGACAGAGGGAGUAGAGUAAGUUACUCCUCACUAUAACCAGCCUUAAUCACCCAUCUGCUCUAUGGCCGCGUAUUCGGACGGUGCAUGGCCAGGCCAACUAUAAAUACCCCAGGAGUUCCAGCACCCCUCUCCUCACCACCAUCUUUUUCCAUUCCCAUCACACAACGUACACCUCUGCGACCGCAAUAGCGAGAGGGAAGAGUAGAUCUGCGGCCAUGGCGAUGAGGAAGGAGGUCCUCCUGGCAGCCAUGAUGCUGCCGCUGGUGGUGGCGGAGCGCGUGCCGCGUGCGAGAUGGGGCAGCUGACGGUGUGCAUGCCGGCGAUCACCACCGGUGCCAAGCCGAGCGGCGCGUGCUGCUCCAACCUGCGCGCGCAGCAGGGGUGCUUCUGCCAGUACGCCAAGGACCCCUC
RNAcentral lists this long non-coding RNA (69537 nucleotides) under Triticum aestivum (bread wheat). RNAcentral's name for it is "long non-coding RNA (TAES_LNC006535)". The stretch from base 14113 to 14246 matches the Rfam family "MIR1120/MIR1122 microRNA precursor family". Lineage: Eukaryota; Viridiplantae; Streptophyta; Magnoliopsida; Poales; Poaceae. The record is from RNAcentral.